RNAcentral lists this long non-coding RNA (56390 nucleotides) under Malus domestica (apple). Its description in RNAcentral is "long non-coding RNA (MDOM_LNC005241)". The record is from RNAcentral. Lineage: Eukaryota; Viridiplantae; Streptophyta; Magnoliopsida; Rosales; Rosaceae.
UUUCUAAUUGAAUACACCUGGAAUGUUAUAAACUUCUUUAAAAUUCUAAUUGAAUACACCCAGAUUUCUAAGGAUUUUAAUAAACUAUCUUAAAAUUCUAAUUGAAUACACCUAAAAUUUCAGAGAAUCACUUGAAAUCCUGAUUGAAUACCCCUAGAUUCAUUAAAAGAAUUAAAAUCCCUUAAAAUCCCAAUUGAAUACACCCCCCUAAAAUAGAACAAUGAGAGAAUGUGAGCUACUCAAUUUAGUACCCUUUAGGGUAGGGUCGAUCCUAAAAUUUUGGACGCCUUGUGCAAGAGUAAUAGUUGAAGUACUUUUCUUAAAAAAUUCAAAGUUAAUAGAUAUUAUAUAAGAAAAAUUAAUAAAAAUGGUUUGAAAACUUUGAAUUUUAAUGAUAAGGACAAAAUAAAGGGUAAAGUUAAUAGUACCAGGAUUGACUUUUUAGUGUAAAAAUGUGAUUUUUCGUUAAAGUGAACAGUACCGAGUGUUUUUCAUUAAAGUUCCUAUUAUAUAUGCUAAAACGUUGUGGCACUAUUCAUUAAUAGUGAAAGGGUGAAACUGUCCUCGUUGUCUUCUUUGCUUGACGUAGUGUGAAAAGCCGGUUUUGGCCAUGCAUGCCACACGUCUUUCAUCGUUACUCUCUACUUCGUCUUCUUCACUCUACUUUGGGUUUCCUUUUUCUGCUUCGCUAAUCUAUUGUUUUUCCCUGUCUUCAUCACACCCUCUUUUCCUCUCAUAUCCUUCAUUUUUAUUUCACUAAAUAGCAUCGGAGGAGAUCCUGCCUUUGAUUUUUUUUGGGAUUUAGUUUCCCGUUGCUUUUCAGAGGAGUCGUUCGUUUGGCGAAUUCUUGGGAAAAUCCAAGCUAUCUCCCGUUCUAAUUCAAAGAAGUUUUAUACCCCAUCAAAGCUUUGGCUUCCGUUCUGAUUUGAAGAAAUUUUAACCCAGAAAAGCUUGGUUUCUUGUUGAGUUCUCCCACAUUUGUCUCGGUUUUGGUUUUUGGGUUCUCCUUUAUUUUAAAUCAACUUUCUAUUAUUUAAUUAUUUUUAUUUGCCAUGUCAUAAAAACAUGUGGAUCUCAUAUUUGUCACGUCAUCACUUAACAAUCAAUUCAAUAGAUGACUAACAGAUGACUAUUGGUUGUAUAACAUUGAAAUGAAAUAAUAAGUAAUAUAUAAGAUUGAAACGUUUUAAAGUUGUCGUACGAUGUUGUAAUUGUACUCAAACUUGAAUGAGCAAAAUGUAACUUACCCAAUUUAUUAAGUAUGACUUUUUUCGUAUUUAAAAUAUUGGGCUGGAACACUGAGUCCUAAUUUUUGCGAAGCCUUUUGUGGCCGCCCAAUCCACACACCCUAUAUGAUGUUGGACAACGAAGAAAGAUAAAGAAAAUAAAAUGUUUCAAAUUUUCGGACAAAAUGUUGAGAAACAUUGGAUUCGAUUGAUAUGACGACGGAAUAGGCAUCAAGAAGUAUUUUGGCAUCAGAAUUAGACGUAUAAUAUGUUGUUUUGAAAAGAAUUGUGAGCAUAAGAAGACUAAUGGUUUUACCAUGAGCCCAUAGUGUCUAAGAUCAUCCGAGGUUGUUUAGGCUUUCAAAAAUACAUUUAUUUUUUGUAAUAAAAAUCAACCUUUUCAUUUGUCGUCCGAUUAGUGUCAUUUUGAUUUUGUUUAAUUACCUAAGACCCUUGAGCUUCUCCAAUGCAUUUUGAUUAUGUUUAUUUAAGCUGUUGACUUAUAUUGUAAUACCAUCUUUCACGAAAUUUAUAUUGAACUUGUCAUUCACGAACGUUAUGAUUUUUUUUAAUACAAUGUAUUUACACUAGGACGUGAUAGGAAAAAAUUGGUAUCGAAUUCGUCAUCCAUAAGAUUCAAACCUAAGACCUCAACACUUACAAGUGAAUAAAAAUAUCAUUUGUAAAACUAUGUUUCAAAUGGAUUUUAAAUUUAAUUAGAGGUAUUAUUUUUAGAGCCAAAUGUGUGACUCAUCCUAUUGCAAAUGCAGCAGAACUAUCCUCUUUUUGAGAAAACAGACGCAUCAAAGUGUUAAUAUUAGGUACUCGGACAUAGGUUUUGCCAAAAACAAAAAGUAGCUCUCCAAAAAUAUCACAAAAGCAAUUCAACAAGAGAAAACCAACUCUAAAUCCUUGGAGCAUUUGCUCAAUCCAUUCGAGUUUUUCACGCAUGCUUCUGCUCAAUCCGGAGGACGGAACCCUUUAUAAUCGAAGGUGGCAACGUACGUGGUUUUCGUCAUGAUAGUGCAGCUCCCGUACUCCCUACAACGAAAAGGUUGAUUCAUCAGUCAUAAACUGAAGAUUCUGAAUGUUCACAAGUGAAGUGAGAUGGGACGUACUCUCGAAACUUUUUCACGUCCUCAUAGUGGCUCAAGGCUUGCUCAAACUUGAGCCACUGCGGACCUGAAUCCUGAGGAUUCACAUUCUUUGGCCCCAAGAUAUAAGCCUGAACAACGAACUCCGGAGUUCUUGAGCUGCUCGUUUAUUAUGACCAUCAAAUUAGACGUAACGUGGUCAAUGAUGUCCACAUUAGGCAAUCGAAAAUUUAUUUCCAGUGACAAAUAAAUCCUGUAACAUACUUACCUCCCUUCAUAUUCCGCUAACCAUACUAAAUAGGCUGCACCAAAGUACAUCGAGAAAAAUGGCUUGCUAAGAUCAUCACCUUGAUUAGGAUUAUAUGCUCUAAAGCCCAUCUCGCUGCACACAACGCGGAAGUUUAAAUGUAUAGUAAAAACUGAAAAUAAUCUGCUUUAACAUUUCCAAACACUGGAACAAUCUCUAGACAGAUUGCUAUAAACUUUUUGAGCAUGCUUCUCUGUUCCAAUUAAGUUCUGUUCAGGAGAUAGACAUACUUGUAGAGCCAUGAAGCUGUAGAAUAGUCGAUUCCCAUAAUUCCAGCACGUGGUCCGACACCAUUCAGGAAACGCAAGCUAAUAACCUCUGCAAGAGCACAAAGAACUGACUGUGCAAAAAAUAAGUCCCCCGAAAAGAAGAAUAACAAAGUAAAAGACAGUGAACGUUGGAGUCAAAGAAGUGAACCGAGUGAGGAUAGAAAUGCUUAUGAAACAGAAAAACACAACGAAAAUGAAAAAUAGUUUCGUUAUCUUCCAGGCUUUUACAUAUCUCAGAUGAAGAAUCAGGUUGUAAAAACUGUUGCGCCUUGGAACGUUCGUUAGUGUGGAAACGAGAUUCAGAUUACAACCUCACCAAAUCACACUCAGUUGAACAUAAUAAAAUACAAGAAAUAAAGACACUAAGAAAUUUACGAGGUUCAGCAAAAACAUGCCUACGUCCCCGGAGAAAUAUUGCUCUUCACUAUGAGAAUAACUAGUACAAGUACACAUGAGUUAAAUCAACAUAACCCAAUCCUGAAUCCCUUGCACACCCACUCAUAGAAUUUUUCAAGAACCUCACUCUACCCCAAGAGUUCUUUCACUAGAAUACUUUUCACUCUAGCUCUCUUGAUUUUCUCUCAACCCAUGUUCAACAUUUCCCAUGGAAGAGCCGAAUGCUCUCUCCACCUUGGAUGCUUUUCUGGCUGCCAUCUCACACACGGCAAGCAUGCCUAAUGCAAGCAUUUCCUUGCAUUAAAUAAAGGCCAAGCCAUCUCAUUUCUUGCAUAAUGCUCCCAAAGUCAAGAGGCAAACCCACUUUUGCUUUUACUUUGCAGCAUUUGUCUGCAACUUUCAAUGCAGCCCACACCAUAUGAUAUUUCCACCGAAAGCAAACACAUGUCACUUCAUUGUUGCCAGCUCAAAAUAUGAGCCAAUCACAACAAAAACCAGUGUCGAAAACAGUCGAAAAUAUAUUUCACAACUUAGAGGUUAUACUUACAGGUUUAAUUGGCUUUGUACUGAAGUGUUUUGUGAGUAUGAUAUCUGCAACUGCCUGCAAGAAGUCAAUAUCAUUUAGGUGACAUGUUAAGGUUGAUUUCACUCACAUUGCAAACCGAAAAAAUAUAAUCAUAAACUUCAAACCAUGGUCUUUUCUAAAUUCGUACCUUCAGUUCUACAUGAGAAAGAUAUGGUCUUUUCUUUUCGUCAAUGGAAAAUCGUACUUUUCCCUUUUUCUCUCCAGUCUUGGUCCACUCUUUAGAGACGUCAUGACGAUUCCACAUUUCCUCCAUGUCUUCUGGGGACGCUCUGACAUCCCAAUAAACAUGAUGACCUGAUCAAAUUUUCUCGGCUUAGUAAUAUAAUGCAAAUGAGGAAUAAAAUGACAGAAAAUUCUUGAAUUUUGUAUGACAAAGCUAAGAAGAGGAUCUACAUUCUUGAGGAAACCUAUAUAUUCGGGACUGCAUUCUAUCAGAGGACAAACAAAGAAUCAUCAAACAUCGUAAAAACACUUAUCAAAACAAAACAUGUUUGGAUUAGUACCAUCCGUGGCAACUCACGGACUGCCAUCUCCACAACUGUUCUCUUUACAAUGUUCAUACUAAACAAAAUAUAAUAUAUUUUUCUAAAACAAAUUUAUCAGUUGAGCUGGCGCGAAUAACUGUAGCACGCUCUGUAACUGGAAAGAGGACCAACCUGCAUCGUGUGAGGGUGCAGACGGCGCAGCAUGAUGGGUUUUAGAAGCGGAGCCAUGAAUUGGAGAUGGAUGACCUUCAAAACUUUUUCUGCACAAAAGGUGUGAUACACCAUAAUCAGCUCUGGAAUGUAUCUGAAAAACUUUAGCUUCUACUUAACAAUUAUUGAGACUUCAUAAUUCAACAAACGCAACACAUUGUUUUCUUUUCGCUACAAAUAAAGGAAAACAUUUCAGUGCAUCAUUACAUUGUCAAAAAGAAAAUUACUGUUACAAAAAAUGCUUAAACCAAGUUCCAGAUUAUAGUGAUAGAGAGAAGAUAGCAACCUGGAUGGAAGACUUUCUUUGACUAAGCGAUACCGUUGCCAAUAUGGCAAAGUUGAUUUGUGAGUUGCCUUCUUGGUACCACCUUUAUAUGCCCUAAUUAUGAAUUCUUCACUUCUUUCUCUACAAAGACGGACGUAUAUAUCAGUAUCGAAUCUUAGAAGAUGGAUAUAACCAAGUCCACAUUCAUAGGAGACACACGUAACAAGAUACAAAAAAUGAUGAGACGAACACUAUAUUUUGUAACUCACUUGUUCUCAAAUUUUGCUAACCAUUUAAGAUACGCAGCACCAAAAUAUACAUUUACAAAAGGCUUGAACAGAAGAUCGUGAUCCCCUUGAACAUCAUAUGAAUGGUAACCCAAAUCACUGCAAGAAAGUUUUACUUACAACGUCAUUGCACCAAAAUUACAUAAAAAGUAGAUAAACAACAUUUCUGGUCCAUUUAAGAGUCACGUUCGCAAGAUCAAAUCAGUUCAUAUAGGUCGUACCUAGCUAGCCAGUCAGCUGUUUUUGGAAAAAGUUGCAUGAUCCCUACAGAGGUGGACUUAGCUUUUUUAUCAUACCGCGUAGCAAGGGGUUGUCUAUCACUUUGAAGGUCUGCAAUAGCACAAAUCAUAUCCUGCAGCAAAAACAAAAGCCAAAAUAAAGGGAACGAAAAGACUUGGCCGCAUAACAAGGGCAUGUUUAUUGUCCAGCAGAGAUUGAAGCUGCAUUCUCAGCAGCUGAUGACUCAAUUGCGAAGACCAGAUAUAUAUGCCACUGAGGAAAAGUGCAUUCUAUUAUUCUUUUGGACGGAGGAAAAAGUGAGUUCAAUGCAAUCUGAUUAAAGCACAUUAUGGAAAAGGGUAAAGACUAGCUAAUCUGUUCUUAUCAUAGAAAACUUACAGGAUCUAUUUGUGAACCAAAAUGCCGGCGGAUGAUGAUCUCAGCCACAGCCUGAAAAACAGCCAUAUGAUGCAAGGUAAAUAAUUCAACAAAUUCGGAAGAAAAUGGUCUGCGCCUAAUUUAUUCCAAAAGAAUUCUCUUUAGCAUUUUUUUACUGUCGUUCCCCAUAAGGAAACUAAGAGUUGUAAAAGAAAAUGUAAUUGGCUAAUUGCCUAGUCUCAUACGUCAAAACUUCUUAGUCAAACUUAUAGUAAAUCAUUUCCUUCAAUGUAGUUAGAACUGUGCGCUUCACCUUCAUUUCGGUCUGUGUCAAAUAAGCAUUUCCAUCGGGAUCGCGCGAGAGGUGAACUUUCUGGCCUUUGGUCUCUCCAACAUCUAACCAUUCUGCAGCCACACAGGGACUACUCCACAAUUCUUCCAGGUCGUGGGGAUCAACACAGUAAUCCCAAUAUUUAUAGCUGGCAGCCAUCCUUGCAAUUUUGUUGGAUCUUUAUCCUAGCAUCUGAUAUACACAAGAAGAUUAAUUUCUUAUAGCAGUAUUCAUUAAGUGCCCAUAAAUAAAUACUCUUGGAAAACAACAAUGUGAGAAACAGAAAAAUCACACAAAGUUUCUUAGUAAGAAUGAAAAUUCUCAUACCCCGGAUUUCCAAAUUAAAUCCAAUACUGUGCAAUUCAUCGCAGCCUUAAGACCAGAAUUUAAUUCAUUUCUUCCCUAAGACCAGAAUUUGCAACCUAAAUCAAUCAUAUUUCAGUCUUAACAACAUCCGAAGCCCAAAACAAAUAACCACCCCGUCAAAAAGCUGCAGUUUUUCACCAUAUUAUAUAUAUAUAUAUAUAUAUAUGAUGAACUAUCAACAGAUCUAUAUUAGACCCCAUAACAUGCCAACCCAAAACAAGCACAUACAAAUACAAUGUACAUGCAUAUAUAUACAAAUUUUAUUCCAUGCAUAAGUAAAUUGGUGAUCUCUAAUCAUAUAUGUGACGUUAUGUUGUCUGAUUGAAAAUCAACGUAUUUAUAUGUCGUUCUAUAUUAUUACUUUCAAACAUGCAUGAUUUAGUAUAAUCAACGAUUUUAACAACAUAAAUAGGAAGAUAAAUUUUUCAAAGAGGCAAAAGAAUUUUGGAGUGGAUUACCAGCGGCAAGAGGUGCAAUGAGAGAACAGAUUUUUUAUUUAUCUUUAUUUUUUAAUUGUAUGGUCUCUCGAGAGAAGGGUAUGCUGGAAUGUUAUAUGAAAUGAAGGAGGAAGACGGAAGGUGGACAAAUGACCAUUGUUGCCGGAAAGUUAUGUGGCAAUUACUCAUCGUUGGGGGAGAGCUUGUCAGAGAAUGACACUUGGCUUUCCAUGUCUAACCAAUGCUGAAACUUUCUUCGUCUUCCUUUACACAAUUAAAAAUUUUCUGUUUUUGCUCUUUUCUUUUUCGUGAUAUAAACUCUAUAUCAAGUCAGACAAAAAAAAAAAAAAAAAUUAUAUCAAGUAAAAAGAUAAUUUGUAAAAAGUUAGUAACUUAAUUGGUUAAGAGAAUUUAUUUUUACAUUUGAAAUUUUUAGUUCAACUUUCUCCUCUCAAUAUCGUUUGUAUAAGAAGUUAAUUUUUUUUGUUAUGCCUUAAUAAAUUAUCAAUUUUAUUCUAACAUUAGUAGUAAAUAAAUAAUUUUGGUUUACGAAAUCAUGAGUUCAAAAGAAAUUGAAUACAAAAUACAAACACAGACAAAACCUCAAGAACAAAUGAUAAAACUUGGAAGACAAGAAAACUACUACCAGCCUAAAAGCUAAUUAAUUAACCUAAAGUGCUGCAUUUCUUACACGUUUGCCAAAUUCGAUGCAUGCAAACCUAAUUACUCUAUUAAGUAUAUUAACAUUUCACAUCGUGUGAAAGAAUUACUGACAAAUUGGAAAAUAUAACAAAAUUGUAUGGUGACUUGCAAUCUCGCAUACAUAUGAUGCGAUACCAAAAUCUCUACACCAAUAAUCUAACUUCAACAUAAAUUAAACUAUAUCAUUUGUGUAUAUACUAUGUACAAUGAGUACUAGAAAUCUAUGGCCGUGUUACUAUUUUUUAUUAUUUUUAAUAUAAGAGAAUUAGAGAUGAAGGAAGAGAGAUGAGAAUAGUUGACAGGAGAGUAAAACAACUUAUACAAAAUGAUCAUAUCUGUUCCACUGUUGUUUUGUCUUAUAAUUUAAUUUUCGGGCAUGUUUGAGAUUGUUUUUGAAAGGAGUAAAAUCACUUUUUGACAAUCAUAAGUGUUUUUUACUAUGUUAAGUGGACAAUUUUGAAAGUGCUUCUAGAUUAAGUAAGAAGUUUCUUCGAUAAGUACUUCAGUGUGCUUUUUAAGCAGCACUCGGAUUAUUAAUUAAAAUCCCUAGAUAUUUCUGAAUUUUGAUAAAAAUACUUUGUAAGUGUUGUGAGUAUAAUUGUUUUCUACAUAAGCAAUUCCAAACAGACUUUUCAUCCCCCAACUUUCAAAGAAUGUGGGCAAUGAAAUUGGAUGACAAACUCCCAUCUCAUGAUUUUGAUAUUUUCUUGAUGAUUUGCUGGGCUCUUUGGGACGCUAGGAUUAAAAGCCUUUGGUCUGACAAUUAUGACAAAUGUGCUGGUUGCUAGGGCUAUGUCAUGGUGGCAUGAGUUUGUAGCAAUAAAGGAGCCUUUGACCAAUUAGUCUCCGAUUGGAAAAAUUGUGGAGAAUACAAAAGUUUUGCUUUCAAUGAUCACUGAGGUUAGCUACACCUACACCCAUGUCCACCGCCAAGUUAAUGGCGUCGCCCAUCACCUUCCCCGUUAUGCUCUCACUGUCGAACUCCCCUGUGCUUGGUUGGAUUCUCCACCAAAUUUUAUUCUGGAUUUACUCUUUCGAGGAUUGCAACUUGAUUUAAGCCUGCUUCUGCCGCUAUAUUGUGUACUUUUUUUCUUUUUCUAGUUGAUUGAAAUUUGCUAUCGUUUCUUUUUAUUUAUUUGAAAGAAAAAAAAAACAGAAUUUUCAUCCUUGUAUAAGCUACUUGUUUUCCUUUCUUAAUUUUAUUUGUGCGUUGAGUGGCAAUCAUAUAAUCACAUGCAUCAUGAGUUCCCAGGACAACUUUAACAUCUUGAUUAGUAAACAACUACUCAUAUGUGUGUUGAUUUCUUGUUAUAAUGUAGGCGUCUAAUUACAAUUAUAAUUCGAAUAUAAGCUUAUAACCAAGUAGGCUAGUGGCUAUUAUUGGUGUGCUUAUAUAUGAUGGGUAACUUUGAAUGUUACUCUUCCAACAACAUUCUUUGUUUCGUAAGCCUUCUUUGGAAUCCAUAAUCUAAUCAAUAAGUUGUUUAGACAUCUAUAUCUUCGUAUCAAAAUUCAUAUAUAUAUAUAAUAGACAAAAGAGUCUUUGAUAACUUUUCUUAAAACAAUUAUAUAGAUGAAUAGCACGCAAAUGCAUCUAUGUACAAGAUUGCGAACAAAAAUUUAGUAAUCCCACUAACCUUCAACGUUCUUAAUAGGUGCUUUCAAAUAAGGGUUCAAUGUAGACAAAUAAGUUAAAUCACAUAAUCAGUCAACACACUUAAAUCUGGAAUAUAUUGAGAUUUAUACCUAAUAGUUGUUAACGAAAGAGACCGAGUGUGGAUGCAAAUUUUCGCCUUCUUCUUCUUGGACAAAAUUUCACCUACAAAACAAUUAACACCUUAGGGAUAAGGCCAAGAGCCUUACGCGCCCACGAUGAAUGGGGGGGCUUUGGCCGAAGAACCUCCAAUGCCAAAGUUAAAAUUUAGAGAGAAAAAGUGUUUAGAUGAUUUUUGGGAGUUUUGCAAGAGUCUCAACUUAGCUUUUUAGAAGAAAUAGGGUCAUAUAUAUAGGGAAUGGGGUGUUAUUUGGUGAUUCAAUUAACAAUUAAUAUAUUAAUUAGGUAUAAAUAUAUUAAUUGGCUAAUUAUCAUAAUAAAAGAAAUGUUUUGGGAGGUUUUUGGAGGUUAUGGAAUGAGGAUGGAUGAGACAAAUUUGAACUUGUUAACUAUUUUGGGUACUCUUGAUUUGGUUGAUGGAUGAUUCUCCACUGCUCGCAUGUAGGAGAUCCGGUAUGCCUCGAGGGUAAAUUUAUCAUCUUCACCCAAAAAUCCACGUGUCACUUUGUGAUUAUUUUUGGCUCCACAAAUGCCCCCACACCUGCUGGGCUACUCGUAGGAAAGUGCAGCAAGUGUAGAGAUCUUCUUGCUCUAGGAAACUUAGGACUGCUUCCUGUUUUGAUGUAGAUUCCCUCUUUAAUAUGAAAUUAGAUCCUUCUAGGAAAAUGAAAUAAAUUUCUCUCAAAACCUAUUUAAGUCCACCUUAAGUGGGUUAUUAAAUCAACUUUGGAGAGUGAUUUAUUCUACCCUACAAGAGAGAGCUUAGAUGAUAUUUGUUUCCCCUCAUUUAGCAAUCUUCUACAUUUUGCUCGUGCAAAUGACCGUCUUUCGUAGCUUUCUUCGUCUUCUUCGUGCCGCACCAAUGUAAUAAAAACUUAAUUUCUUCUUGUCUUCUUCUUAGAUGGUGUUGCCAUGGGGCAGUCGUCGGCUUGUCAUGGGCCAGUGAGGUGGUGUGGUAGGGGCUAUUGCUUGUGCUACUCAGCUUGAUUGAAGCCAAGGAUUAGCUUGGCAUGGGCCGAGGAAGUGGCGUGGCAUGGGUAACGGUUUAAGCUGCCAUGUCUGGGCUGCUUGCCAAAAAUGAGGAAACUGCUUGAGUUUGAUUUCUCAGUUGCCGUAGAUGGAGCAGUCAAAGAUAAAGCUGCUGAAGAUGAAGUGUCAGAUGAGUGAACUGUUAAGUGCAAAAGUGGCUACUGCCCCUGACCAUUUACUGCGUAAUUGAUCUUCAAGCAUUCGAUCUUUUAAGCUAUGUGGCCUUCUCACACUGGAGAGCUUACCUAGAUGGGUAUUCAGGAAUUAGUUUACUCUUUCGCACUGGAGUGCAAUUAGUUUACCCUCUUGCACUAGAGAGCAAUUAGUUUAUCCUUUCGCACUGGAGAGUAAACCCAUAUGGGUGUCAGGAAAUUAGUUUACCCUAUCGCACUGGAGAUCAAUUAGUUUAUCCUCUCGCACUGGAGAGCAAACCCAUAUGGGUGUCGGGGAAUUGGUUUACCCUCUUGCACCAGAGAGCAAUUAGUUUAUCCUCUCGCACUGGAGAGCAAACCCAUAUGGGUGUCGGGGAAUUGGUUUACCCUCUCGUAUGGGUGUCGGGGAAUUGGUUUACCCUCUCGCACUGGAGAGCAAUUAGUUUAUCCUCUCGCACUGGAGAUGGGGAAUUGGUUUACCCUCUCGCAUUGGAGAGCAAUUAGUUUAUCCUCUUGAACUGGAGAGCAGACCCUUUUGGGUGUUGGGGAAUUGGUUUACCCUCUCGCACUGGAGAGUAUAGAAGUCAUUGUCAUAAGUGCGGCUGAGGAAAGCUGGACUGCUAGGAUAACCGAAAUAAUCCUUAGCCUGCCCCCGGUUCUUGGUAGUUGGGCUGAUGUGUCCUUCUGGUACUCGUUUGCCCCAUGGCCCGCCAUUAGGCUGAGCUGCUGUGUUUGUCGAAGCAGAAGUUAUUUUUAUAUCCGACAAUCUAUGUGGGGUAGUCCUAUCUGCUCGAUCUUGUCAUUAAAAGAUAACUUGCUUAUGUUGGUCAUGUCUCAUCGAAGCGCCUUAUCAAUAGCUUCGUUGCGCAAGAAAUUGCGCAAUCGCUUGGUCAUGAGCCUUUCUACUUCUACCUGAAUUUGCCUUUGUUGGGGAUGGCAGAGCUCUCGGCUACCCCGGUUUUAACCUGCUGGUCUAGGCUGCUCUUUCAUGUGCUCGGCUCAUCUACGUCGUGGCAAAGUGCAUAUGGUCCACUUCUGGCAAACAAGGAAUUAUUCGCGGGCUGCCGGUUGAACUUGAGCCAGAUUGAGUGAUUGCUUCUCUCUGUCCAUCGUGCUGCUUGCUCCGAUGUGAUGUGGAUGAUACUCCUUGCAGGCCUAGCCAAGAAUGAAUGUUUUGCCUAGAAGGCUGCACAUGUUGAUAAUCAGAGUGUGGCCCCAGCCGUGAGUGUAUACUUGUCCUCGAGCCUAGUCGAUAUUGUACGCUCCUCCGCGCGCUAAGACGGGAGUAUACGCUAUCUCGGGGGCCUAAUCGGGAAUGUACACUGCCUGAACGUUCGGCUCGUGGCUGUUUGUCGGGAUGCUGCUGGAAAGGUUCGUCUGCCCUUAUCUUACUUCGGGACACCUCGUCCGAGGCACGUUGGAUCUCGAUGCGUUGCAAAAGUUGAUUCACCAAAGUCGUCUGUUGUGCAAGGACACUCGUCAACUCUAUGACUUGUCGAGACAAGUGUUGUUCGCCAUUUAAAUUGGAAGAGCUUGGAAGGAAUGUGCCUCAUUGAGCAAUAGAAGUAUGGUAGACUCCAGGCAUGAGAUUUGAGUUGGGAAAUGUCAAAUUCGUGGAGAAAUAUGGUGAAAAUGCCCCCGGCUCAAUGGUUGCUCCAGAUAGUUGAGAUAUUCUCGGGCCAACUUGAGUUGCUUGGGAAACCAUAGGAGGCAAGGUUGCGGGAACAUGCAUGGUUAUGGGAGUGGGUUGCUUGGCGGGAGCAGGCUGGGCCGCAAGAGUGGGAGUGGGCUGCUCGGCGGGAACAUGCUGGGCCACGAGAGUGGGCUGCUCGUAGGGAGCAGGCUAGGCCAUGACAGUAGGUUGCUCGGCGGGAGUAGGCUGGGCCACGAAAGUGGGCUGCUCGGCGGGAGCAGGCUGGGCCACGAGAGCAGGUUGCUUAGAGCGUGAUGCAUGCAAGUGCGAGGCUUGGGCUCGGGCCCAUGCAAGCUUGGAUGGCACGGCUUAGGCCAUGGUGGAACCUCGUAGUGGUGGUACCACUUCGCCUAUGACCACAUUUAGCCUCAUGGAUCGCCGCGGUUCAAUUUCUUGAGUAUUAGAAUUCUCACUUGUGGAAUUUUCUAAAUUUCUAGCCAUUAUAUUUUUCUUAUAUGUUUUAUCAAAGAACCUUUGCAAAUAAAAAAUUCUAAUAAUAAGAACGUAUGAAAAAUAUUCAAAUGGACUAGAAAAUAACGAAAAACCUUUUUAUGCGAGAGUCUUCUACGAGUAUGGAUCUCAACUCUCAAUGAAAGCACCAAUUUGUGGAUGCAAAUUUCCGCCUUCUUCUUCUUGGACAAAAUUGCACCUACAAAACAAUUAACACCUUAGGGUCAAGGCCAAAAGCCUUAUGUGCCUACGAUGAAUGGGGGGGCUUUGGCCGAAGAACCUCCGAUGCCAAAGUUAGAAUUUAGAGAGAAAAAAGUGUUUAGAGGAUUGUUGGGAGUUUUGCAAGAGUCUCAACUUAGCUUUUUAGAAGAAAUAUGAUCAUAUAUAUAGGGAAUGUGGUGUUAUUUGGUGAUUCAAUUAGCAAUUAAUAUAUUAAUUAGGUAUAAAUAUAUUAAUUGGCUAAUUAUCAUAAUAAAAGAAAUGUUUUGGGAGGUUUUUGGAGGUUAUGGAAUGAGGAUGAAUGAGACAAAUUUGAACUUGUUAUCUAUUUUGGGUACUCCUGAUUUGGUUGAUGGAUAAUUCUCCACUGCUCGCGUGUAGGAGACCCGGUAUGCCUCGAGGGUAAAUUUAUCAUCUUCACCCAAAAAUCCACGUGUCGCUUUGUAAUUAUUUUUGGCUCCACACCGAGUACACCGCCACCAUAUUAGUUGCUAAACCCCUUUCAUAAAAGUCUCUUAAUAGAGGUAAUUUACAUGUGUUAUCGACUAUAUGUAUGGUCCGUAAAUUAGGUAUAUUUCUUUAAGGAGUAAAUAAUAUCCAUUUCAUUAUCAUGUUGGACAUUGUCAUCAUGUGAAAACAAAGUACCCGUUGACAUCAAACAGAUGUUUUGUGUAUUAGUCCAAGCUUGUGCGGUUGUGCCUAAGAAAAUGCCAUGACCUAAUGAGACAACAAACAAAUCAUGUCAUCCCCGAAAGCAAGAUUGCACUUGUUACUUUGUUAGCAUAUAUAUGCCUUCCGGCUAUUAGCUUCCAACUCUAUUGCCAAGACAAAUGUUAAAAUCAGUCGUAGAUAUUCAGUAGUGGAUCCAUGAUUCGAAUUUUAGGAGGUUAUAGUGUUAAAGGUUCAAGUUUUUUAGAUAGAAAUUGAGCGCGAAGCGCAUAUAACAAUUCAGUUUAGUCACUGAGGCAUUUCAUUUAACACUUGACGAAUUUAUUGUCAUCAGCCGCACCAAGUUGCACACAUGUCCGAAGAUAUUAAUAUAUGCUGAAGUAAUAUGCUAAGUGCUAUUGAGAGAAUUUCUAGAGUGCUGUCAACGGAACAUGCGAGGGACAUUUUGUCAAAUAUUUGGUGGGCACAAAAAAAACCCCACCAAAUAUAGGAGUUUUAACUAAACACUCUUGAUACUGUUUACUUUUAACAAAAAACCAUAUUUUUACAUUUUCCUGGUACUAAUAACUACACAUUUAUUUGUUAUUUUUCAUUAAAACUAAAGUUUUUUUAGACUUUUCGUUAAUUUUUCUACCAAAUAUUAGAACUGUCAUCGAAAGAUUUUCACAUAUAUAUUUUUAUGACUCCAAAUAAUUCUACCUUGAUUCCGAUGUGCAUCCGUCACUGGGUGUGCGGGUGCGUGAUCGAUUUCUCUUCCAACUUUUAGUUCUUAGUCUACAUCAGAUUAAAAGAGUGUUAAAAUGAGUCGCGAAUGGGCGCGUGAUUGAUUUAUUGUUGUGAGUAUUACUAUUUUCCUACCUCUAGGAAGAGCACGUGCAGAGCUGUAUUUGGUUGUUUUCAACCCUAACCUACCACUUCACGCACACCCCGACAAAGCUAAGGCCAAAAGAGUACUGUGUGGAAUGCGUUGGCUCCACGCUGAGAUAUUAUCACAUUCAAUCAUCAAUGUCAAUAAUUUAGGUUUAUUCGCAUGUAUUAUGUGUCCUCUACUUCUACCGUGAAUGUCCCACUUUGAUUCCCCCGACCAACAUAAAAUAACAAAAGCAGGUUUGUGCGGUUCGUAUUUGAAAGUUUGGUAAGGUAGUAGAGCAACCAUCUUUUAACGGAUUAUUCAAGAUUGGCUAACAAAAGUAAAUACGAAGACCGAUUUAACUAGAUUAAAAACACGAGACCAAAUUAACUGAUAAGAUAAAACACAAGGACUAUUGUGAUGUUUAAGCAAAAAAGUUAAGAUAUUAUCUUCUACUUGAGAAAAACAUUGCACAUGCACACUUGAUCUAUAAAAUAUAACUGAAUUGAAAGAUUUCACCAUCAAUUUGCAAAAUUUAUGUGUAUAUAUUAUUACAUUUUCUUGAUUUUCCCCAAACCCUAGCCAUUUUCUUAUUAAAAAGGAAAUUUAGGAUUGAUUCAACCUUUUCUUUUGGUAAAUGCAUUGCAACCUUUUCUUAGUCUCCAUCGUUACAUUGCAUGAAAGAAAGUUUGGAAUCUUAUGAAUAGUAGAAAAACAACAAUUGAGGGAAAACUUCUUGUAUGCACAUGAACAAAUCACAUGGAUGUCUAAGAUCAUUUUCGAGAGUCUACAAAACUAAAUUUGAAUUGCCAUAUAAGAUUUUUUUGUGCUCCAACAAAGUUGUCAAAUGAGUAUUCAAAUUUGGAAAAUGUCCUACAAUCUCUAGAUUUAGAGUCUCUCUAUCUCACUUUUUCUUUGCCAACUUUUUUUUUUUCCAAAAAUUAAAUAUAAAAAAAGGACAUGUGAUGAAAAGUAAUAAAAAAAGAAACUAAGAUUUGUAGAGUCUAUAGGAGCAAAAUUGUGAAUCAACAAAUUUUAGUUUUCAAACUGCCCGGUUAAUAAAUUUGUAUUUGAAAAGUCGUAUUUAAAGAAAGUUAUUAGAAAUACUCUAAUGACUCUAGCCGAACACUAAACAUCCAACUUUGCUACAUCCCUUGUGCUUGUUAUCGUAUACAAAGGUAUAAUUCCUUCACAAGCAAAACUUAUGUUUCACUUUGAGGAUCACGUCAUUUGUACGUUGAAAAUGUGGUUUAAAAAGUUAGUUUAUCUACCAUUACACUAAAAUUAAGUUCUCAAAACUGGAAGUCAAUUUGAUUGUGUGUAGAGACGUGUUUUCACGGGUUGACACAAAAAUUUCCAUGGAUUGAGACCUAAACGUAACAAACAAAAGAACUUGGACCGGGAAGGUGAACCGGCCAUCUGUAGGACCGGCUAGAAAUCUUAAAAAGGAGAAAAGCCCCAAAAAGCCCACACAGGUCAAACGUGGCUGUCGAGAACUACGAGACCCUUUCUCUCCUCACCACGUCACGACAAACUCACCUACGUGAUGUACACAGCUGCCCAUCCGCUGUUUCCACUCUCACCAUAACCCACACUUCCUCCAAUCACGAUCGUUAAUAUCCCACGCCUCAAUACAUCGACGGUUAGAUACCAUCAAGGUAUUCGAUGUAGUUCGCAGGAGAUUGGUACCAUAAAGAACGUGACGAGAGAGACAGGAACCAUGAGAGAGAGAGAGAGAGAGAGAGAGAGAGAGAGAGUUUCAGGUGAGCUCCGUAAGAAACUCCGCAUGCUUUCUCACGAUAUUCUUCUCUUUUUUUUUUAAUUAAAAAAAUAAAAAAUAUUAAAAAAGGAAAACAAAAAACACAUUUGCCCUCUGGUGGUGGCCUGUUCGGAGUCCCCAAUAGCUGCUUAAAAAGCUUCUGUUUUUUAGGGUUUUUCAUUCCAUUUGCUUCGGACAAAGAGAGAGUAGGAGAGCUCCGAACCGAUCAGAAAUGGCGGCUUCUUCUCUGCUCAGAUCUACCGUCUCAGCUCCGUUGAUCGAAGCCUCCCGCGCCGACCUCGCCGCCUCCGCCGCCGCCUCUUUCAAGGUCUGUUUUUUUUUUAACUCCCCUCAGCAGCUUGAGGCUAAUCACCUCCCAACUGUUUCAAAACACGUCGUUGAUUUAUUUAAGCGUUCCAGAAUUUGGUUCUGUAUCGGUAAAUUGCGUAUUUGUUGGAUGCUUGAAAAAACAGAGGCCUGAAAAAUGUGUUCUUUUGAAUAAAUCAUUUGAUUUUUAUCAGUUUUUGUUAUCAAGUUUAAGGCUUUGAAUUUCUGCUAGUAUUUAGUUUUUCAAAUUAGAUUUUUUGUUCUUUCAUUUAGGAAUCAGUUGAAUUUUCUUAAGCUUUAAAUAUCUCUUAUGAUUUUUCAUAUUUUAUUUAUCUGGUUUAAUUUAUUAGACCAGAGGAAAUCACUACUCACUAAAGCAAUAAAUAGCAAAUGUAGUUUCUGUUUCUCUUUGUUUUAAUUUUGGUUGUAAUAUGUUGUUCAGGUGUCAAGCGUUGGGUUUAGCCGCAAUCUGAACUGUCCCAAGGUGCAAUCAUACAUUUUUGGCACUUCCAUCCCAAGCGGGUCAUCUUCUUUACAGUUGAGCAACUCAGUCUCAAUUUUGAUGUUUAAUUUUUCGGUUUUGCAAUUCGAGGCUUUGUUCUUGUUAUAGACUGUGAUAUAUGUUCUGUUUUCUAGGAUAUGCAGCGCCAGGAGCGUCCAACCCAUCAAGGCCACAGCCACCGAACUGCCACCAACAGUUCAGAGUAAGAACGCCAAAAAUACUUUUCGAACGUGGAGUUGAUUUGUAUUGCUCUGAAGCUCACUCUUGAUUGGUUGUUUUGUUUAGGAUCCGGGAGUGGUGGGAAGACAAAGAUCGGAAUCAACGGUAAGUUCGUUGAAGUUGUGCUUUUUCUUGCUUAUCCUUAGGCAUGAAUGAUGUUUUCUUUGCUUAGUUUAGGUUAGUUUUGAUUACUAAGUAAUAAGUUGUUUUGACUAUAAUUUCAAUAUUACUACUUUGCUUUUCUCAUUAGCUUCUUUAAUUGUUUUUGGAUGCUAAAAAAUCGUUAGCUGUUAGUCAUAGUACUGAUGAUAUACCAAUAACACAUUUAACUGAUGUUUAGAUUGUCUUGCCUUUAGAAAGGGUGAUUUUAGUUGUUAUAUGAUGAAAACACUAUUCGUGCAGGUUUCGGUAGAAUUGGAAGGUUGGUUCUAAGGAUUGCAAGCACAAGAGAUGAUAUAGAAGUGGUAGCAGUCAAUGAUCCUCUAGUAGAUCCCAAGUACAUGGUAAGUUGUACGGAUGUAUCAUUAACAAUGUUUAUUGCAAUAUGCUAAUUUCCUUUGUCAUAAUUACGUAGCACAUAGUGCCAUAUCGGUACUAGUUCUUCUUUAUGUUUUAAGAUGGGAGUGAUAUUCAUUAGACAGUGUAGGAAGUGUAGGAAGUGUUGCAAAUUACUUAAGUUAGGACGUCAACGAAUAUAUUUGAACUGUUCCCAAUUACCUUGUUUUUCUCAAUGCUAGUAUCCAUACAGUUGAACUUGAAUAUUUAACUGAAAUAUUGAAACUGUAUAUAUUUUUGUUUGUUCGAUGUUUUGAUGCAAGUAAAAGGUAAAACAUUGAUGAUUUUUUCCUGGAUGUGCAUUUUGCUCCUGUCCUAUAACCAGUUUCAAACUUAUUGCUGUCAAGAAUGCUCUUGCUUUUUCUUUUAUUCUUAUGAAGGUUUAACUUUCGUUUUUGUUUUGCAAUGUCCAGGCUUACAUGUUUAAGUAUGACUCUACGCAUGGAAUAUUCGAUGGAUCAAUUAGUGUUGUGGAUGAUUCCACCUUGGAAAUAAAUGGCAAGGCAAUCAAAGUUGUGAGCAAAAGGUAUUGUGCUGUGAUUUUCAGCAGUAAUCUAAUUCUCUAGAGAAUGUUGUGCACCAGAAUUUGCUUUUCUAUUGUAAAGAGUAUCAUGUGAAGCUAUUUGUGAUUCGGGAUUAACUUCUUAACCUUAUCCAGAGAUCCUGCUGAAAUCCCUUGGGGUGAUUAUGGGGUUGAGUAUGUUGUCGAAUCUUCUGGGAUUUUUACGACACUUGAGAAGGCCGCAUUACAUAAAAAGGUUUGUUGCUUUAAGUCUAAUUUCUGCACUGUUUGUCUGUUACUGGACACCAGGUUGAUCUCUGAUUGCUUCUCCUUUGCAGGGUGGUGCAAAGAAAGUGGUAAUAUCUGCCCCAUCAGCCGAUGCACCAAUGUUUGUCAUUGGAGUAAAUGAGAAAACAUACAAGCCAAAUAUGGACAUUGUUUCUAAUGCGAGCUGUACCACCAACUGCCUUGCUCCUCUUGCCAAGGUUUGAUUGCCUCCUAUAAAUUAUUGAUAUAAAUUUGAGCUCCAUUAUAAUUUGAACUACAAUUCUGGAUGGUAAAUGUUAUACAAAAACAUGUCUGCUUUUAUUAUAUCCUUUUCCUUUCAAUUUAAUAAUUCUUUUUUGGCAUCGUCACCAAAUAGUUGAUAUCUGUAUUAUUUAUUUGUUCUUUCUGCUUUCUUCCUGUGUUAGCACUUCGUAAUAAGCUACUGCCUCUUGCCAUAUCUUACCUCAUUAAAUGUAUUUUGUAGGUGAUUCAUGAGGAAUUUGGUAUUCUUGAGGGUUUGAUGACAACUGUGCAUGCAACUACAGGUUCCUUCCCUCUGCCUCUCUCUCUCUAAAACACAUGUAUGUGAUUGUUGAUCACUUGUUAUGGGGCUAACAUACUGAUGGUUUUACACGUUCAGCAACACAGAAGACAGUCGAUGGCCCUUCAAUGAAGGACUGGAGAGGAGGCCGAGGAGCUGGACAGAACAUCAUCCCUAGUUCUACUGGUGCUGCAAAGGUACUAUAUCUGAAAAUAGAUUCUUGGUGGUACUUCCAAAGAUAUUUGGGUGUUUUUAUAUGAUUUUGUCGAUGUUUAACUUUUUGUAUUUAUUUUUGGGGUUUAAAGUUACACUAAUCUCUUUUGCUCCUUGGAAUUGUAGGCAGUUGGAAAAGUUCUACCAGAACUCAAUGGAAAGCUCACUGGUAUGGCCUUCCGUGUCCCCACUCCUAAUGUAUCUGUGGUGGACUUAACUUGUCGACUUGAGAAGAGUUCUUCAUAUGAGGAUGUCAAAGCCGCGAUCAGGUACGUGUUCUGCAUUGUGUGUGUAUAUAUUACAGUAUCUACCUUUAUGUUUCUUUCUUACCCCCUUCUUUGGAUAGCUCAUUUACUUUGAUAUCUUACGCGAAGGUAUGCUGCUGAUGGGCCACUUAGAGGCAUCCUCGGAUACACAGAAGAUGAUGUCGUCUCCAAUGAUUUUGUUGGUGACUCAAGGUAGGAUCCUUUUCUUUUUCCUAAGAUUUCUUCAAAAGGAAAGCAAUACUAGCAUGAAUUGACUUGGUAAGAUUCAGUUAUGGAAGUUCUUUACUGAUCUGCUUUAAUUUAUUCCUCUAACUCCAGGUCCAGUAUAUUCGAUGCCAAGGCUGGAUUAGCACUUAGUUCCUCCUUUGUUAAGCUUGUUUCGUGGUACGACAACGAGUGGGGAUACAGGUAAACACUCUACACUCUGCAUGUAUAUUACAAUUUGCUGCCCGCGGUAUAUAGUUCAAUGCGUCAGACUAAUCAAGCUUGUCUUUCUAACAGCAACCGAGUUUUGGACCUCAUAGAGCACAUGGCGUUGGUGGCAGCAUAAGUCACGGUUGCCGAGUGUCAUCCCAAUUUUUGGCGCUUUGAUGCGAUGCUACGAGUGUCAUCGCAUAAUUCUACUCGAAAAUAAUGGAAAAUAGGACUUGCAUGAGCUCGCAGGUUGUGGGCUAAGUACAUCAUCUAUUUGUACCGUAUUAUAAUAUACCGCUCCGUUGAAGGAGCUUUUUCCCUUUGUGUCGAAGAAAUUCUUAAAAAGUGAAUGACAUUCGAACAUAUAUAAUUAGAACAAGGUUUUGCUUUCUUUUGAUUUAGUGUUUAAUUAAAUAACUUUAGGCCUCUUCAACCACUGUCGAUUGAUCUAGUGUUAGAAACUCACAUUCUAAUAUGUAUCGGAACCACAAUGUUCACAUGCUGACCCAUCUUUUGCGCUUCGCUUAUCAAUUAAUGUAUUGUCUAUGUGUUAGGUUUAAAUGACUUCAUAGUUGAAUGAAUGUAUUGUCCAUGUGUUAGGUUUAAAUAAUUUCGUAGUUGAAUGAACUGGUUAAAUGUAUAAAAUUAAACCUUGCAUAAGUUUUUACAUGAUCGUGGACCUCUAUAUCUAUCGAUUGCCAACUGGUUACCCAUAUUGUAAAUUAGUAAAUAUUAUUAAGGAAAAGCCCUUAUGAUUAAAUAUUUUCAAAUACCCAAAACGCCCCUUGUUUCUUUCAUAUUAGAAAAAAUCAACAAAAUUUAGAAAAUGACUACAAGAUAGUAAAGUUAUAAUACGUUGAUUUAACCGAGUACCAAUCCAACUCGAGCAAAACUAUCAAACGAUGUGCUAUAUAAAAGGUAACUGUUUGAUCUAACCGAGUACCAAUCCAACUCAAGAGCAAAACUAACAAACGAUGGGCCAUAUAAAGGGUAACUAUUCAAGUACAAAUUUCAUUAAAUCACAAUACGAAAAUCUCUCGCAUCUUUUUUUAUCAUGAUAGUUAUAAAUUUAUAAUGUACAUCAGUAAUUGCCAUCACGGUUAUUUAACUGUGGUAAGUAUAAAUAAGAUUAUUAUUGCUGGCGUGCAAAUGAUAAGUUAUUUAUUUAUGUUAAAUAUAAGUUUGCAGGAAGGGCUACUCCCAACAGCAGUAGCAGUUGAACCCGGAGCAAUGGCUGAGAUGAAAUUCUUCCCUCCUACAUUCCAUUUUACAAUAAGACAGACUCAGGCAAAAUUCCAGGUAUUUACACUGCUCGUUAUUGUAAGCUUCUGUAUGCUGCACUGUCUCUUCUGCACAUCAAUACAUAUUGGUUAGUUAACUUGUCAAAAUUAGUACAACAACAUAUAUAAUAUAAAUAUAUAUAUAUAUAUAUAUAGAGAGAGAGAGAGAGAGAGAGAGAGAGAGAGAAGCACGAGAAGCAAGAAGGAUGAUGAACAGAAAAACAAGCCCAAGAUUGAACUUCUUAUCCAUGUUUUCUCUUCAAUUUUUAACUGAGUUGUAGCAAUACAUGUAUAUAUAUAUAUAUAUAUAUAUAUAUAUAUAUAUAUAUAUGUAGGGUAUGGAUUUAAAGGAUUUGUCAAGGCUCCGUCAUGAUUUAGAGCUAGCUUACAAGUUAUAAGGUUGCAUUGAUUAAUUGCCAUAAGAAGAAAAUUUAUCAACUAAUGCCAAUUUAAUUAUAACUUGUUUUCGAAAAAUUGGAUAUAUGGAUCUAAACCCAUUGGCUAUGAGUCGGUCUGACCAAUUUUAUUGCACUCCUACAAAUAACAGCUUUUACACUGUAAGGCAACUCUGAUGUGCCUUCCGGGGAAAAAAAAAAAAAAAAAAAACAGAGGAAAUAAAUCCCAAUUUUUAUUCUGUUUAUUUUGUAAGCCUUCAAUUUUUGCUGUUGUUUAGUAAUGUGAUGCACAGUUCUGUUUCAAAUAGUGGACCACAUGCUACUCUCUUUUAUUCCCACAAUUAUUUUAGUUACUGACAUCGAAGUAUCAAUUUAUCUUAAAUUCUUAUCAAUAUCAUUUUUCGUUCGAAAAAAAAAAAGAACUUACGUUGGACUUCCUUUUAGUAUACUAAACUUGCUCGAAGUUUAUAAAAAAUAAUCUUGUUAUAUGGAAAAAUUAGAUAGGAUUAUGUCAACACACAUUGGCUAACUCUUUCAAUUUUUUCGACAAAAAAAGAAAGAACUCUUUCAACCUUUGUAGUUUAGGCACUUUAGUGCGCAACGUCAUUUCUCAUGGGAAGUUUAGUGCAUAAUUAUCAUGUUUGUUAUGAAAAAUUUACUUGAAAAAGAAAAAGGAAAAAAAGAAAUGGGGUGAGAUCGGUAAACUGAGAAGUGUAGUAGUUGCCUUCUAGCCGCCACGAGCACUUUUCUCUCACACAUCGCAACCAAAAAAAAGAAAAAAUGGGGUUUUUGUGAAUCGGUGAGGAUCCGGCAAUAAUUCGUGAAUCAUAUUCGUUUAUCGUACAUCGUACGGUCAUAAAUUAUUUUAAAUAUUUUUAUUUCAAAUUAAAUACAAACAAUAUCUGAUAAAAACUGAUCGUACGAUAUACGAUAUACGAUGAAUUGACACGAUUUAUGGAUCCCCAGAUCCUCACCAAAAGGAUCCGGAAAGGAUCCUGUUUGUGGUUGUAAUGCAUGGCUAGCAGACUUAUUUAAUUGUGGUAAAUAUAUAAUAAGAUUUAUCGCUAGCACACAAAUGAUUUAAUUUGCAGGGAGCAUUAGUCCCAACAGCAGUUCAACCCGGAGCAAUGGCUGCGAGGAUAGCUCGCCCUUGUGCAGUCGAUAUCACACUGGGACGGCAUUGUGCAUAGUCCUCACUAGCAAAAACGCCCACGCUCUGUUGCGAGAAAUACCACCAAGUAUAAUCUUAUACAAUCUAAUUGUUUUUGUUAUUCCUAUUUCUUUUUGACAUCGUGUGCGGAAAAUGCCACAAGUAUAAUCUUAUACGAUCUAAUUGUUUUUGUUAUUCCUACUUCUUUUUGGCAUUGUGUGCAAAAAAACGUAAACUCCAAGCAACAAAUUGAUAGCUGAGAAGAAACAAAUGACCAACAACAACAAAGCCUUUUCCCACUAAGUGGGGUCGGCUAUAUGAAUUCUAGAACGCCAUUGCGCUCGGUUUUGUGUCAUGUAUCCAAGUACUCUAAAUCUUUUCUUAGGGUCUCUUUCAAAGUUUUCCUAGAUCUUCCUCUACCCCUUCGACCCUGAACCUCUAUCCCGUAGUCACAUCUUCGAACCAGAGCGUCAGUAGACCUUCUUUGCACAUGUCCAAACCCAUUUUGUGUACGUGUUGAUGCUUCACCGCCCAACAUUCUGUGCCAUACAGCAUCGCCGGCCUUAUUGCUGUCUUAUAAAAUUUUCCCUUGAGCUUCAGUGGCCUACAACGGUCACACAACACGCCGGAUGCACUCUUCCACUUCAUCCAUCUAACUUGUAUUCUAUGGUUGAGAUCUCCAUCUAAUUCUCCGUUCUUUUGCAAGAUAGAUCCUAGGUAGCGAAAACGGUUGCUCUUUGGUAUUUCCUGAUCUCCGAUCCUCACCCCUAACUCAUUUUGGCCUUCAUUUGCACUGAACUUGCACUCCAUAUAUUCUGUCUUUGAUCGGCUUAGGCGAAGACCUUUAGAUUCCAACACUUCUCUUCAAAGGUUAAGCUUCGCAUUUACCCCUCUUGAGUUUCAUCUAUCAACACUAUAUCGUUUGCGAAAAGCAUACACCAAGGAAUAUCAUCUUGAAUAUGUCCUGUUAACUCAUUCAUUACCAACGCAAAAAGGUAAGGACUUAAGGAUUGUUGAUGCACAAAAUCAGUAAGGACUUUGGUACAACAGAAAGUAUUAAGUUUGUGAUCUUCGCUAGAUUGCUCUGGUCAUUAGUGUGGAUAAGUAUGUAAAUAGAUAGAGACAGGAAAGCAAACACAAGAUGUAUGUGGUUCACCCAAAUUGGCUACAUCCACGGAGUAGAGGAGUUCUCAUUAAUUGUGAAGGGUUUACACAAGUACAUAGGUUCAAGCUCUCCUUUAGUGAGUACAAGUAAAUGAUUUAGUACAAAUGACAUUAGGAAAUAUUGUGGGAGAAUGAUCUCGUAAUCACGAAACUUCUAAGUACCGAAGUGUGGUAUCGUCUUCACUUGCCUUAUCUGUCUCAUAGGUAGAUGUGACAUCUUCUCUGGAAGUACUCUUCCUCCAUCCAGGGGUGGUAUCUUUAACUGGUGGAGAUGCACAAGGUAAUGUAUCAAUUUCACUUGAAGCUUACUUGUAGUUUCAGGCUUGGUUAAGCGCGAUACAAACCAUGUAAUAGAAGUCCCCCAAGUCGCCGCGCUAGAGGAUCUGCUGAAAGAGGUGACAGAUAAAGUAAGCAAUCAGAGCUCCAAGCAAUCAGUCACAUAUCAGAAGUUUGAUUUCGAGUUCUGGCUGAUUGUUCUCAUUCUCCCUAUCUUGCAGGCAGCAUGAAUGAUAAAGAGAAGAAAAAGGAGAAUACAUGAUAUGAGAUACUUUUGCUUUUGAAGAAGUAACUUUCCACAGGCUUAUUCUUGAACUGAGCUGGAGGGAUUUCUGGUUUCCUCCAGAGUAUAAGGCCGACUGAAGAAUUUGAGGGUCAAAACAAGUCCAUCAAAUCUAGAGUACGUUCGACCUGCUAAUAUGAGAUACUUUUGCUGUUGACAAAGUAGUGAAUGUAUCGACACGUGUUCUGUUACGCUUGUCUCCACAUGCUUCCUUGUAACCUUCUCACUUUUCUUAUUUGUUCCUCAGGCAGAUGUGGUAUCUUCUUUGGAAGCAUAAGAUGUUGAAGAUGAGUACUCGAGAGCAAUGCCAGGUAAGUAAUCAGGUAAGGGGUUCCAGGCAGUCAGUUCCUAACUGGAAGCUUGAUUCCAAGUGUUGACUGAUUGCUCUCUUUCUCCUUGUCUUGCAGGUAAAAACAAGGCCAAAGGAAAAGACAGGGAAAAAACAUGAUAUGGGAUACUCUUGCUUUUAACCCUGAUGAUAUAAGAUAUUCUUGCUCUGGUGUAGCUUGUUUGUAGAGGUAUUAUCGGGGGGAAAGAAAGCUGAGUAUUUCGAGAGGCUUCGUUGGGAGUGCCCUCUCAGAUAUGAGGAAGGGUUGAGCAUUUUUGCAGGUCUAUCUGUCCGUUGAGGAUGGAAGUCGACAUAUAUAGGAGUCUCUCUAACAAUAAGUAGUAAUGAUAUUCCUUUACCCUGCUUGGUCAUAGCAGGGUAGUGGGAGCUGCCAGCUUCACGUGUGUCAGAACACUUUGAAAAAGUGGUCUGUGGUAUUUGGAAAACUGAUGUUGCGUGUGAAGAUUACAGACAAGCUUUAUCCAAGAAGAUCUGGCUCUCGAAGUUGAGAAAGCGAUGCCUCUUCGGUUUUCGAACAAGCAAUUCUAUCGGGGAUCUGGCUCUCGAGAUUCGGAGAACGGUGCCUCUUCGAUUUUUGAGAAAGCAAUCUUGCUGGGAGUCUGGCUCUCUAGAUUCGGAAAGCGGUGUUUCUUCGAUUUUUGAGAAAGUAAUCAUGUUGGGAGUCUGGCUCUCGAGAUUCGGAGGGCGGUACCUCUUCGAUUUUGGAGCAAGCAAUCUUGUUGGGAGUGUUUUCUCGAAUAUGAGUAAAGGUUGGGCAUGUUUGCUAGUCUACCUUGCCACGGAACACAGAGGUUGACACACAGGGACUUUCCAAUUAUCCAGCAGUGGUGCUGUUCCUUUACCCUUGUGGGUAAUAAUAUGGUAGCUAGACCUUCAAAAUUUAUGUGUCUAAACUUUGUUAGUGCUGUUUCUUUGUUAUUCUUUUACCCUUCUUGGUCAUAGCGAUGUAGUGAGAGCUUCAAGCUUCACGUGUCUAAACUUUGUCAGAGAUCUUUGGCAAAGUUAUCUGUGGUACCCAUGAGCUGAUGAUGUAUGUGGAAAGUGGAUGAUUGAACAGUAAGAUUCACGUGCUUUCUACUUUACCAGAAAUCUUCAACAGAAUGCCUGUAAUUUCAGCAAAGCUGAGUAUGCAUGUGAUAGGUAUUGACAAGGCUGAAAAAAGCAGGUGUCUCUUCGAUUUCUGAGAUCGGCCCUCGUGGUCUCUGAGCAGCCCAGCUUUUGAGAAAGCAAGCACCUCUUUGAUUUCUGAGAUCGGCCUUCGUGGUCUUUGAGCAGCCCAGCUUUUGAGAAAGCAAACGCCUCUUCGAUUUCUGAGAUCGGCCCUCGUGGUCUCUGAGCAACCCAGCUUUUGAGAAAGCAAACGCCUCUUCGAUUUCUGAAGAUCCGUCGAGUACAAAUUUUUAUAGAGGUGGGCAUUAAGUUCCAAAGCACACUUGAAUCUCCACCAGUAGAAGCUCAUUUCUUGCACUUCUAAGAUCUUGAUUUGUCCGACCUCUUCUCUCUUCAACACCUUUGAAAAUGUCUGGCCCCUCCGACCGUCGUUUUGACUUAAACCUUGUUGAAGAGGUAGCCACGCCUUCUCCAGACAACAUAUGGCGCCCAUCCUUCUUAUCCCCUACUGGUCCUCUUAUCGUUGGGGAUUCCGUGAUGAAGAAUGAUAUGAUCGCUGCGGUGGUGGCCAGGAACCUUCUCACUCCCAAAGAUAACAGACUACUUUCCAAACAGUCUGAUGAGUUGGUUGUUAAAGAUUCUUUGACUCUGAGUGUUCAGUGUGCAAGUUUUAUGUCUAAUAUGGCCCAACGCCUAUUUGCUCGAACCCGCCAAGUGGAAUCAUUGGCGGCUGAAGUGAUGAGUCUCAAACAGGAGAUUAAAGGGCUCAAGCAUGAGAAUAAACAGUUGCACCGGUUCGCACAUGACUAUGCUACAAACAUGAAGAGGAAGCUUGACCAGAUGAAGGAAUCUGAUGGUCAGGUUUUACUUGAUUAUCAGCGGUUUGUGGGUUUGUUCCAAAGGCAUUUAUUGCCUUCGUCUUCUGGGGCUGUACCGCGUAUUGAAGCUCCAAAUGAUCAACCUCCGAUGCCUCAUCCUUCUAGGGUUCUGUCCAGUACUGAGGCUCCAAAUGAUCCCCCUCUGGUGCAUUCUCUUUAUGGGGCUCUACCGACUGCUGAGACUUCUCUUAAGCAACCUUUGUGAAGGCUCCCUCUUGUUUGUUUAUUUUGACUCAUGUAUAUGUACAUAUUUGUAACUUAUCGGAGAUAUCAAUAAAUAAGUUUUGCUUCAUUUCAACGUAUUGUGUUAGAUACACCAAGCCUUCUUCACUGGGUGGGGUCGGUUAUAUGAAUCUUAGAACGCCAUUGUGCUCGGUCCUGUGUCAUGUCCUUCGUUAGAUCCAAGUACUCUAAGUCUUUUCUUAGAGUCUCUUUCAAAGUUUUAAUAGGUCUUCCUCUACCCCUUCGGCCCUGAACCUCCGUCCCGUAGUCGCAUCUUCUAACCGGAACGUCAGUAGACAUUUUUUGUACAUGUAUAAACCACCGUAACCGAUUUUCUCUCAACUUUCCUACAAUUUCGGCUACUCCUACUUUACCUCGGAUAUCCUCAUUCCUAAUCUUAUCCUUUCUCGUGUGCCCACACAUCCAACGAAGCAUCUUCAUCUCCGCUACACCCAUGUGUUGAUGCUUCACCGCCCAACAUUCUGUGCCAUACAGCAUCGCUGCCUUAUUGCCGUCCUAUAAAAUUUUCCCUUAAGCUUCAGUGGCAUACGGCGGUCACACAACACGCCAGAUAUACUCUUCCACUUCAUCCAUCCAGCUUGUAUUCUAUGGUUGAGAUCUCUAUCUAAUUCUCCGUUCUUUUGCAAGAUAGAUCCUAAGUAGCUAAAACGAUUGCUCUUUGGUAUUUCCUGAUCUCCGAUCCUCACCCCUAACUCAUUUUGGCCUCCAUUUGCACUGAACUUGCACUCCAUAUAUUUUGUCUUUGAUUGGCUUAGGCGAAGACCUUUAGAUUCCAACAUUUCUCUCCAAAGGUUAAGCUUCGCAUUUACCCCUUCCUGAGUUUCAUCUAUCAACACUAUAUCGUCUGCGAAAAGCAUACACCAAGGAAUAUCAUCUUGAAUAUGUCUUGUUAACUCAUCCAUUACCAACGCAAAAAGGUAAGAACUUAAGGAUGAGCCUUGAUGUAAUCCUACAGUUAUGGGAAAGCUUUCGGUUUGUCAUUCAUGAGUUCUUACGGCAGUCUUUACUCCUUCAUACAUAUCCUUUAUAGCUUGGAUAUAUGCUACUCGUACUCAUUUCUUCUCUAAAAUCCUCCAAAGAAUGUCUCUUGGGACCCUAUCAUACGCUUUUUCCAAAUCUAUAAAGACCAUGUGUAAAUCCUUUUUCCCAUCUCUAUAUCUUUCCAUCAAUCUUCGUAAGAGAUAGAUUGCCUCCAUGGUUGAGCGCCCUGGCAUGAACCCGAAUUGGUUGUCCGAAACUCGUGUCUCUUGCCUCAAUCUAUGCUCAAUGACGCUCUCCCAGAGCUUCAUUGUAUGACUCAUUAGCUUAAUACCCCUAUAGUUCAUGCAAUUUUGUACGUCACCCUUAUUCUUGUAGAUAGGCACCAAAGUGCUCUUUCGCCACUCAUUUGGCAUCUUCUUCGUUUCAAAAUCCUAUUAAAAAGGUCAGUGAGCCAUGUUAUACCUGUCUCUCCCAAGACUUUCCACACUUCGAUCGGUAUAUCGUCUGGGCCCACUGCUUUUCUGUGCUUCAUCUUCUUCAAAGCUAUAACCACUUCUUCCUUCCUGAUUCGACGAUAAAAAAAGUAGUUUCUACACUCUUCUGAGUUACUCAACUCCCCUAAAGAAGUACUCAUUUCGUGUCCUUCAUUGAAAAGAUUAUGAAAAUAACCUCUCCAUCUGUCUUUGACCGCGUUCUCUAUAGCAAGAACCUUUCCAUUAUCAUCCUUGAUGCACCUCACUUGGUUUAGGUCCCUUGUCUUCUUUUCCCUUGCUCUAGCUAGUUUAUAGAUAUCCAACUCUCCUUCUUUGGUAUCUAGUCGCUUAUACAUAUCGUCAUAAGCUGCUAACUUAGCUUCUCUCACAGCUUUCUUCGCCUCUUACUUCGCUCUUCUAAACCUUUCACCAUUUUCAUCGGUCUUGUCCUUGUAUAAGGCUUUACAACAUUCCUUCUUAGCCUUCACCUUUGUUUGUACCUCCUCAUUCCACUACCAAGAUUCAUUUUGGUGUGGAGCAAAGCUUGUGGACUUUCCUAAUACCUCUUUUGCUACUUUUCGGAUACAACUAGCCAUGGAAUCCUACAUUUGGCUAGCUUCCCCCUUUCUAUCCCACACACACUGGGUGAUUACUUUCUCUUUGAAAAUGGCUUGUUUUUCUCCUUUUAGAUUCCACCAUCUAGUCCUUGGGCACUUCCAAGUCUUGUUCUUUUUUCUCCCUCUUUUGAUAUGUACAUCUAUCACCAACAAACGAUGUUGAUUAAGCAAGCUCUCUCCCGGUAUAACUUUGCAAUCCUUACAAGUUAUACGAUCCCCUUUCCUCAUUAGAAGAAAAUCUAUUUGUGUUUUUGACGACCCACUCUUGUAAGUGAUCACAUGUUCUUCUCUCUUCUUAAAGAAGGUGUUGGCUAAGAAGAGAUCAUAUGCCAUUGCACAAUCCAAGAUAGCUUCCUCAUCCUCAUUUCUCUCCCCAAAACCAUGGCCACCAUGAAAACCUCCAUAGUUGCCUAUCUCCCUGCCCACGUGUCCAUUUAAAUCUCCUCCUAUAAAUAACUUCUCCGUUUGGGCAAUUCCUUGCACCAAGUCUCCAAGGUCUUCCCAAAAUUUCUCCUUCGAACUCGUAUCCAACCCUACUUGAGGUGCGUACGCACUAAUCACAUUGAUGAGUUCUUGUCCUAUUACAAUCUUGAUUGCCAUGAUUCUAUUUCCUACCCUCUUGACAUCUACAACAUUUUGUGUCAAGGUCUUGUCCACGAUGAUGCCAACACCGUUUCUUGUUCUAUUUGUGCCCGAAUACCAAAGUUUAAACCCUGAGUUUUCUAGAUCCUUUGCCUUAAGACCAACCCACUUAGUUUCUUGUAUGCACAUAAUAUUUAUCAUUCUCCUCACCAUAACUUCCAUUACUUCCAUAGAUUUUCCCGUUAAGGUUCCUAUAUUCCACGUUCCUAAACGCAUUCUACUCUCUUGAACUCUACCCUUCUGUCCUAGCUUCUUCACCCUCCCCCGUCAAAUAGGAUCAAAGUACUUCUUUUGUGUGUCCUGUGUAAAGUUGAUAGGAGCAUAUGCUCCCAAACAACUUUGAGUGAAGUUGUUCGAAAAGAAGUUUCUAUGACCCCCUUGCUCAUUUAACACUGCAUCCGGGUGCUGAUGGAGAUACAGCGACCCUUGCUCACUUAUCACUGUGCUCGGGCCACACAGCGCGCCACUUACGGGUGACGCCCUAGCUUUAGGACGAUUUCGUUCUGGAUUCAUUUUCAUAAGGAUUCGACGUAACCGAGGAGUGCUGGCUGUCGACUACCUGACGCCCUCCCCCUCCUCCUUUACCCGGGCUUGAGACCGGCAAUGUAAGAUAAACCUACACAAACGGAGUUUGAGAAGAAACAAAUGACCGCGUAAAUUAAAUUUCAAAUCUUCCAUCACACCUAUAUUGUAAUUGGAGCAAAAAUAAAAAACCUAAAUUGUAAUUAGCUAAGGCACCCUUGAUUCUUUUCCAGUGAACCACCAAAUUUUGCCGAAAAGCAAAGCGUUUCGCUGGAUAGAGUGCUCAUUAUUCACUUAUGCUUGUAAAACCAACAAAAGGGUAAUUUCGCAUUCUCCAUAAUUAUACUUAAUGCCAAUAUGCAUAGCUAAUAUACUAUGUUAAUAUACUUAAGUUACCACUAAGUCUUUUAAGAAACAUUGGUAAUUCAUAGAAUAUGCAACUUUAUCCAUUAGAUUCACAAGUUCAUGGUGUGAGACAUUUCAUAGACCCCAUAUCAAGAUUGAGGAAGUACAAGUAGUGAUCUUAAACAUUCAUGGUAAGCUUUGAUCAGUUUCAGCGCCCGCACAAGCCUUCAAGCAGCGGCACUGGCGAAGGAUAUGGGAGCAUUUGCCAUAACCGUGACCCUCACUUCGGCAUCUCACGAUACAGUUGGCGUCUUUGAAGCAUAGCCCUCUGAAUGUUUUGCUUGGCUCUUCACAAAUCCUUGCUUCACUGUGCAUCACCAUCUCUUCUGUAUAUAUUACUUUAGUUAAUUAUGUACUUCUCAACAUGCAUGUAAAAAAUCAUGCGAAAGUUUAACUACAUUCAUAUGCGUAUAUAUAUUAUUGUCUAAUAUUUAAGGAAGUCCACACAGUUUUGAAUUUAUAUAGUUUUGAAGGGAUGCCCUUGAACGAGGACUUAAUAUGCUGACAGUUCCAUCGUUAACCAUUAACAUGAUAUUCCAAACAAAUAUUGAGAGAGAAACUUACGAGAAGUUAGAAGGAUGAUAAAGAAGAGAACAAGACCAAAGAAGUUCCUCUCCAUGCCUUAAUCUUCAGAUUUUCAAGUCUUCUGCAAAUACUAAUGUUACUGAGUUACUCCCUCUCUCUCUCUCUCUCUCUCUCUCUCUGCGUGUGUAUAUAUAUACACAUAUAGUACUACGUCAUGUUUUUUUUUUUUUUCCACAUUCUAGACACAUCAUCAUAUGAUACACAUAUACCAUUUAAACCUUGGUUACAGGUGGAUCUAAGAGUUUAUGGUGUCUUCCUUUAGUGUGGACAUGUGUUCGGUUAGCAACAAAAGCCGCAUGCGUUGUCAACUGGAUAGGAGAACGUAUACGUGCAUGGAACGAAGAGCUAUCUGGGUUCAUCCAAGAAGAGCCAUCUCUGGACUUUCACGAUUUCACAUUUGAAGAGUAAUCAAAUAGCUAAAUAUUAGAAAACAAACUAAAGAACACAUGUCAAUACAAUAAAAUUUAGAAAAGAAACUAAAAUAACACAUUUCAGUACAAACUUAUCCCAACUGAGUACAGUCGACCUCUCUCUCUCUCUCUCUCUCGAUGGGGAGAUUCGAAAAGAAAAAAAAAAAAACUGUAUGAGAUUUUUAUCAUAAAUGGUCCGGAAAUUAACAUCAUCCCUCAAUUGAUUAACAUCACCAAUUGGUUAAUACAAUCAUUAGAACGCAGCUAGGGAAAUCAGCAAUAAUGACACUAUUACAAUGAACUCUUACAAAAUUGAAACCAAGUUGUAAUAGCUAUAAACGUGACUCAUUUUGAAUUAUUUUUGGACGCAGAAAGAUUACCCUUUACUUAAUUUUUGCUUUUAGACACAAAGAUAACGACAACACAAUAUAAUAUAAUGACAACUUAAACAUAUUUUGACAUGUUAUUAUGAUGAUCAAUGUUUAUAAUGUCAGUAUCAUCAAUGUGUUUUCAAUAUAUAAUAGACAAAAUAUUUUAUUACAGAAAUGAUGAUCAAUGUUUAUAUUGUCAAUAUCAUCAAUGUGUUUUCAAUAUAUAAUAAAUAUAUUAUCGUUAUUGAUUAUUUCAGUAUGCUUACCCUAUAUAUUAUUUCUUUUUCUACUAUUCCGGGAACAAAAUUUUUGUCAUACGGUAAUCGGUAAAAAUAGUUGUAGUUUUGCAAGUAUGAUGCCAUAUAUUGUUCUGGGGCAAGUAUUUAGCAUAGAACGCUUCUGCGUACUGAAUUAAUACUCUGGUAGAGGAAAAAAAUUUAGUACUGAAAAUACGGUUCGGUACAUAUCAUAAUACAAUUGAUUAAAAACGUCAAAAUUUUUUUUUAACAAUUUAUAUUGUAACUUUGGUAUAUAUAUCGAGUUAUGUUUCUGGCAUAUUGAAACAUUUCGCUAUACAGCAGAAGAAGUUGGAAACUGAAAAGCUCUUAUUCAGAGAGCUUAUUAAUCCUUGGAUCAUAUAUAUUUGAGUUACCAAGGAGUUCUCGAUUUGAACAACCUACAAAGUUGGCCCUUAUAUUUUUGACGUCCGGCCGACGCCAAAAUGAGGCUGAUUAUUUAUCUAAUUAUAAUAUAUUCAGGACAUGGGAUCGACGUCUGGAGCUUAAUUUAUGGUGAGGUUUCAGUUCCAUGAGUAGUUUCACUUUCAGCUAGCCGCCCACAAGCCUUUAGGCACCGGCACUGACGCAGGACAUGGGAGCAUUUGCCGUAACCGAAACCCUCACUGUGGCAUUUCACGAUACAAUGGGUAUCGCUGAAGCAUAACCCUCUGAAUGUUUUGCUUGGAACUUCACAAACCCUAGCUUCACUGUGCAUCACCAUCUCGUCUGUACAAAAAUAUUAAAAAUCUCAGUUAACUAUUAAUUACUUUCCAAGUUUCGAAGAUAUAUAUGUGAAAGAUUGUGUGACAAUUUGACUAGAUCCUACUUAAUUAGAAUUAUGUUAAAAUUCAUCAAAAUACUAAUUUCGAUCCAUAUCACAUGUUACAACUGUAUGUAUAAAAUUUUGAGGAGGGAGAGAGGGAGACUUACUAGAAGUUAAGAGGAUGAUGAAGAACAAAACAAGACCAAAGUAGUUCCUCUCCAUGGCUUAAGUCUUCAGAUUUUCAAGUGCCUUCUACCACCAAUAUUAUCACUCUCUCUUCCAACAUUGCAUCUGUAUAGACGGGUUUAUAUAAAGCUUCCAAGCACAUGUCAUGUAUUGUUUCGAGACCCUGCUUUUUUAUAUCGACAUAGAUUCAUCAGCACAUCUGAUAAUAAAGAAAAAUGAAUUUUGGUUACAGGUGGAUCUAAAUUUGCAAUGGCUUUCGCCAGGUGUGGUCAUGUGUUGGUUCGGCUAUAUGCGUUGUCAAGUGCAUGAGAGUAUAUAUGUGCAUGGACAUGGAGGAACAGCCAUCUGGAUCCAUGAUAUAUACUAUUCGAACAAUCAUGCAUGCAGCUUCACUCCUAUCCAAUUCACUAAUAAUACAGUUCUUUUCAGAAUUGAAGGGAAUUAUUGGUCGAACAUAAUGUAUUAAUUUCCAAACGUUGUUCAAAUUAAUUUCUUUUACUUUUACUAAAAUGUUGUUGAUUAUAAGUAUCUUGAUCUGAACUUUUCUACCAUCGUCCUUUGAGUUUUUUAGUGUUUUAUCUUCUAUUACUUAAGAAACGGUAAUUUUAAUUAUUUUGUUUUUGUCAAAGGUAAUUUUAAUUAUUGGGAUCUAACAAUCUCUUACUCAACACAUCGUCUCCAUACUACAUCUUAUCUUGUUAUUUCGGCAUUGCUAAAAGAGUGACAUUAUUGCUAAAAACGUAAUAAAAAGUCAAAAGAGUGAUGCUACGUUUAUCAUAUAUUAAUUUAUUUUAUCUUUAAAAUAGAGAUAGGGUCUAGCAACACAUAUGUAGGUCUUAUUUCUAGUAUAAAGAUGAUACAAAUAUGUGGUAAGAGUAACAUUUUUUAAGUUAAACCAUGAGCUGGUGGUCCAGUGGUAAAUGGUAGAUUGCGAGGCUUCCUUCAAACUAAAAACUGGAGUCUCGGGUUCGAAACCCGCUACCGGUGUGGAAGCCAGACUUUUGGCCAGAAUGAGGCUGAAAUGCAUCUGUGAGUCUUCCCGGCCCCCGGACUGAGUGGAUAACCGUGGCUUACCACCAGUUGUCCCCAUUUCAAAAAAAAAACAUUUUUGAAGUAAAAAAAUUUGACCUUUCCUUGUAUUGUCCACUCCAUGUUAAAGUCCAAUUCUCAAACCCUCCUCCCCGUCCUGACUAUUUCUAUAUUAUGUGAAAUUGGGAGUUUUCUCCCCAACACCAUCCACCCGCCCAGCGCCUAUAUUAGUGAAUGUUUUUAUAUUUUUUAGUCGGUAACUAGCAUUAAUUAGUGAUUAGUUGUUACUUAAUUAGUAUUAUGAUCUUGUGAUAUUUAUCUCUGCUUGAGAUUUUAGGUCCAACUCAUAUAGAUAUAUAACGAAUUUGAUACUAAAUUAUUAUGAAUGACUCAUUGUAUGCAUUAGGCCCUAUAUCCCUUCUGCCUCUUAGCGUAAAUAUUUCGUUAUACUACUCCAUUGAAAUUUAUUAGCAUUGCAUUUAAGUUAAAUGAUAUUAAUUGAUUUUGUUUUUAAAUGUUGCGGAUAUUCAAAAUAAAACCUAUAUAAUCUAUUUACUAUAUACUAAAACAGAAAUAUUAAGAAAACUCUCUCAAAGUAGAAUUCUCCAUAAACUCUCUGUGACAUCAUGUUUUUGGCACAAUUCCCAUGCCAAAUCAUGUCAGAUCGAAACAUGAAGUGGCAGAGAGUCCACAGAAAGUCCUACAUUUGAGAGAGUCUUUAGCAUUAUUCAUAUUAAAAUAACUCUUUUCAAUCAAAAGAAGUUGAAAUGAUGAUAUGAAUAAUGUUAAGGAGAAUAAAUUUGUAUACAAAAAUUAGUAAACUAAAUGAUUCGGAAGUCGGUGAAUUUUUGUAUUUAUUUGAAAAGUCAUGAGUAUUAUAGUAAUUUUAUUUUAAUGUUAUCACCCUCUCUCUCUCUCUCUCUAUCUCUCUCUCUCUCUCUCUCUCUCUCUCUCUCUCUCUCUCUCUCUCUCUCUCUCUCUCUCUCUCUCUCUCUCUCUCUCUCUCUCUCUCUCUCUCUCUCUCUCCAUUCCCUGUUUUUUCUCUUUAUUAUUUAUCAUGACACUUCCUCCAAAUUCCAAUAAAAUCUUCCUAAGCCCAUGCGUAGCAUGUGUGGAAGUUACUAGUACCUCUCAAACUCAACCUAUUUGUUAAUAACCUAUUAUGGUUAGUUUUAUUAUUUGUUAGAUUGAGUUGUAAUUAGCUAAUUAGCUUUAUUAGUUAAGUCUAGUUAUUACGCUAAGAAGUAUAUAAUCUUUCAUAUUUGUUAUGACUCUUACAGAAUGAAUGAAAGAUUCAUUUUCUCGUUCAUCUCUCUUCUCUCUCUGUAGGAUGUGCUUACCGUUUCUCUUCGAUCCUUUUGUUCGACGUUGAACAAGUUAUAUCACAAUUAUAUUGCACUCAGAGCUGGAAAAAUACAGAGUAGAAUACAUUUAGCCACCCAUGGAUACAAGGCUGUUUGGCUUCAUAUUCUUGCUGCUUCUUUCCUCAACUUCUCGUAAGUCUCUCUCAUUACCAAGUUUACACUUUCCUUCUUUUGUAUCUGUAGAGGGAAGGUAGAACAUCGAAGGAAAAUAAUCUCUAAUACAGUUUUUCCCUUCUUUUUUUUAUAUAGAAAGAAAAAUGAGUACACGGUUAAGUAAAUAUAUAGGGGAUCACUCAACCUCUAACCAGUUAGUAUUUUAAUAUGAAAUUAACCACUUGUUUGAACUUACUGAACAAUAUUUUGCAUAAUAUGACCCGAUCAAUUUUUAGGUUACUAUUGAAAUUAAGAUCAUGCAUGCAAAAAUUCACUAAAAUCAGAAGCUGUUUAUUUGUCUAAUUGUUGCAUGACAAUAGAUGAAGUCAAAGUUGUCAAUAAGCAAUGAAAUGUUCACAAUAAUAAUUGAAGAGCCAAAUAAUGAUAUUCUAAAUUAAAUUUGAACGAUUCGAAUCAUGAUAGUACAUUGUGGAAUGGGCUCAAACAAGUUGUCAGCGCUAUCGCUCCUCCCUCCAUAUAUAUAGGAUGCAACCCGAAUCCACCCAUGCUCAAUCUGGUGUCAAGUCCGAUCUAACAUGUUAAAAUAAAGUAAAAACCCAUCCAAAUCUAACUUGACUUCAACCCGAUCAUCUAUAUUAGUUGAAAUUCAAUUGUACACAUUUUAAUUAAUUUUUUUCUUUCCAUUUUUUGUCAUGCAUUAAAUUUUUACGUAAUGAGAAGCACCUCUUCCAAUAAACUUAAUCAAAUUGAGUAUAGGGCUUUCAAUGUUGUAAAGAGUCUUACGGUUAAUUAAAUAAUUGUAGUUUCUUAUGGUACUUAUACUUAAUGCAGAAAUUGCAGUGGCAGCGACGGACUUAUGCAGGACCGACGAUAGCAAAACAUGGGGCGGUGGGAGAAAAUGUUUUACCCAUAUGCACAACGUCGAGUGCAAAAAAAAUUGCAAAGAGGAGGGUCACGUGACGGGGUGGUGCACGUGGUAUAACUGGUGGUCAUGUUCCUGCCACGACUAUUGUGAUGCCAUCGAUUGUCAUGGUUGGCAAGAUUUGUUUCAGAGAUGCGCGCCAAACCCACCAUAAUUCGAUCUAGGUGUUGAUGCAUGCUACCUUCAUAAGAAUCUUUAAAAUGGGAUUUCGCUUCAUUGUUCAUGAAACGAGAUAAUUUGUAUUUUGUGUGUGUUUCAUUUUAUCAUUAUGCACUCGUUAUUGGUGAGAAAAAUAAAAAAAUUAAAUAGUGCACGAUAUAUGUUUUGAAAUGUUAAUUAAUAUCAAACAGUUCUCAAAAUAAAUUGUUUACUCAUGUAACCACGCCAAAUUAGAAUGAAAUUAAUAUUAAAAAAGACUAACAAAAAUUAAAACUCAAGCACUGACUUUAUUUAUUAUUAAUCUCAAUGAUUCAUCAUAUACACUUUAUACAUCUUAUAUAUCAAGAUUAAUGAAGGGGAGCUAGCUAAAAUUAAUAUUCAUGAAAUUUCAUGAGUAGUUUGAUCCAGGUCACAAGGUUUAUAGAACAUGCACCGGCGUAGGACAUGUGAGCAUUUGCCGUAACCAUACCCCUCGCUGUGGCGUCUCACCAUGCAGUUCCUCUGUAUGAUGCAUAUCCCUUUGAAUGUUUUACUUGGCUCUGAACAAAUCUUUGCUUCACUGUGCAUCACCAUCUCUCCUGCAUAUAAUCAAUAAGUAUUCCAACCUUUUAACUAAAUUCUAAUGCAAAUAUAUUAGCAUAUAUAUGUAACUUUUUUUCAAUUGAGAGAGAGAGAGAGAGAGACUUACGAGAAGUUAUAAGGAUGAUCAUAAAGAACAAAACAAGACCAAAGUUUCUCUCCAUGUCUUAAUCUUCAAAUUUUUAAUUUACCUUCUACCAAUAAUGUUAUUUUCUAUCUGUCAAUGAUGUACAUGUGUAGCCUGUUUAUCUCUAUUUACAUGUAUAUAAAGUAUCAAAUCACACGUCACGUAUGGUUUCCAAAACCUUACUUUUUAGUAGCAUGGAUUUACUUAAGGAUUUGGUAAUUAAAGAAGAUCUAUUCAGAUCCACUUUGAUAUUGAUAUUGAUUACUGGUGGAUCUAAAGUUUACAAUGGCUUUCAUCGAUUGGAGGAUAGUGUACAUGUAGAUACCAAAUUAGGUUACUUAUUGUAUAGCUUAACCAAACUUUUUUUUGUUUUUUAGAAUAAAAUAUAUUGUUGUACUAAAACAGAAGAUGCUCUAAGCCAUUAAUUAUCUAUGGCAAUCGUAACCGGUUACGGCUUUUAGUUUAGUUUUUUUUUUUUUUUUUUGAAAAACGAUAUUAUAUACCCUAAGGGGAAGAGAGUGGGCUUUAAUCUCGCAAUAAUGGGUUCAGAUUCGCCUUUAGCGAGAGUCGAACCCAAUACCUUCUUACAAGUGAAGAGAAAUACCACUAUACUACAGUACUAAGUGACAAGGCUUUUAGUUAUCUUAAGUAAAAUGAAUUGUUUUAAAUAUCUUUAUAUAAGAAUUCUUAACAACCAAUUUCUUUAAUAUGACGAAAAUAUCAUGUGGCAGGCCAAAGUGGUGUAAAUAAUCUACCCACACUUUUCUCGGUUUUUUGGUUAAGAUAUCAAGUGCUAAUAAUCUAUCCAUGUGAUAGACUUCAAAUUCAUCUGUAACAAACAUAAAAAACCAAAAAGUGGGGGAUGUUGUGCAAAAGAAGGAAUAAUAUGUUAUCGAAGCACAUCCCUCUGAAUAGACGGUACACUCCUUCGCCACAACUUGCAUCACCAUCUCUAAAUUAAACAAUUAAUAAAAAAUAAUCAGAACAAAAAAUAAUAUUAAUAACAAAGUCAUAGAUACAUAAAGGGCUAAAAUGCACUAAGAGUUCCAUGUAGUUUAUUACUUGGAUUACUUUCAUCACUAUUUUUGUUAUAAUUUUGUUUUGUUUUCACUUUAUUCUAAUCCGUAAACUAAGUUGAUUUGUUCCUCAACUUAUGUGCUCAUUCGAUGGAAUGGACUAAGUCAUAGAUACAUAAAGGGAAUGCACUAAGAGUUCCAUGUAGUUUAUUACUUGUAUUUUUACUUUCAUCACUAUUUUUGUUACAAUUUUGUUCUGUUUUCACUUUAUUAUAAUCCGUAAACUAAGUUGAUUUGUUCCUCAACUUAUGUGCUCAUUUGAUGGAAUGGACUACUAGUGCUACCGGAAUGAACUAAGGGCGAAAAGCAAAUUCCGAUUAAACGACUAUUAGUCCAAUGAGAGAGAGAGAGAGAGAGAGAGAGAGAGAGAGAGAGAGAGAACCUGAUGGCAAAAGAUAAGGAAUACGAACAAUAUGAGCCCAAAUAACUUGUUGAUUUCCAUGUCUCGCAGUUGAAUGCCUACCAAGUUACAUAUGGUUCCUUAGCAUGUAUUCAACAGCUUCAAUGGCCCUUCAUAUAUAUAGCACGAAACUGUGGAAGCUUUUCGACUUUAACACCAUACAAUUAAUUAAAUUUAAUAAACCCUAAAUCCUAAAAGCAAAAUUUUAAGCCCCUUGACUUGAAAAGUGUCGUCUUUUUUUCGCUUGUGCUCGGAUUCUGUUUAAUGUGUGUAUUAAAUGAAUAAUGUUUGAGGAAAAAGUGAGGAUCCAGUAAUAAAAUAGUAUCUGGAGGACAGAUAUUGUAUAUAGUUUAGGUUUCCUUUGUAAACAAUAUCCAGAUGGCCUUCUGUGAUUCUUUGUUCUUACUUGUCAUCAAGUGGAACGGUGAAAGAUUAAGAUCGAGUCUCGUUCUCCUCCAUUUUUUUUUAAGGAAAACUAAUGAAAAGGGCUUGAAAACUUUGAGUUUUAAUGAUAAGGACAAAAUAAAGGAUAAAGUGAAUAGUACCAGGAUUGACUUUUUAGUGUAAAAAUGUGGUUUUUCGUUAAAGUGAACAGUACGGGUGCUUUUCGUUAAAGUUCCCUUUUUUUUAUUGUUUUCUGACUGGCCAAAAAAUGGUAUUCGUGUGGUGGAUCUUUGGACUCUUUCUUUGAUGCAGAUAAGUUUAAUUCACACAAUUAGAUUGUUGUAUUCUUAAAGAAACAAGUUAAAAGAUAUACUAUUGCACCGAAUUUUUUCAAACCUCAAGGAGCUUGAAUCUAGUUAAAAAAACAUGAGAUACUCACGUCUCAACCUAACUUGUCUACAAUAACUAAUUUUAUUUCAUUGUAAUUUUUUUGUAAUUUUUUUGAAAUUUACCCAACACUAUAUAGUUUUGAUUUACAUGUAUGGAAUUUUUGUUCCUUUUCGAAUACUCCGGUUCAGCUUUAGUGAGAUCACAGAUUACAAGUCAGGGAGGUAGAACACUACCAUCAACAUUACAAUCUGAAAGUCUACCGUUGCUAUUGGAUAUAUAUGUUAAUACUCAUGACAGAGUACUGAAUAUUGGCAUAGAGUUGUGGCAUUCCUUGGAUCACCAACUUUUAUCUCAACCUUUUAGGAUUUAGAGAUAAUCAGCAAUAAGCUGUAGGAACUCUGAUUAACAUCAGCUAUAGAAACUUUAUUUAUGAACUUAAAAUAAUUAUUCUGCAAAGUACAAUCACAUAUGGGGAACAGCCAUUUUAAAACGACUUUUCCUCUCGUCUCCGCCACUCCACCACCCCAUGCAUGUCCGCCACGUCUUCCAUCUUCACCGCCGCGCCUAGAGCUCCUUCAUACGGAAGGGGAGGUUCUUCACCAUGCGGAGGUGAAGGUUCUUCACCAUACGGUGGAGGAGGUUCUUCACCAUAAGAUGGAGGAGGUUCUUCGCCGUACCGCGGUGGUUCUCCCGGAGGAGAUCCACAAAUCUUAGUGCACAUGCAAUGACAUCGUAUGAUCCCUUCGCAUUGGCCACGCUCAAAACCCUCACUUUGGCAAAUUAUGUAGCACUUGUCGUCAUCGAAGUACUCCCUCUGAAUAGACAGCUCCUAUACUUAGACUCCAUCGCCCCAACUUGCAUCACCAUCUCUAAAUUAAACAAAUACAAAUUAAUCAAAAGGAAAGUACACACAAAAAAUUAAAAAAAGAGUAAUAUUGAUAAACCAUAAAUAUCAAAAUUAUGAAAUUCCUCAUUUGACGGAAUGAACUAACGAUGCUAACAGAAUGAAACUAUAAGAAGAAAAUUGAAAUUUUGUUAUGUAGUGCAAUGAGAGAGAGAGAACAUGAUGGCAAGAGGAGUGGGAAGACCAACAACACGAGCCCAAAAAACAUGUUGAUCUCCAUGUCUUGCAAUUGCAAGCUUAGCAAAUUGCAUAUGGUUUCUUAGAAAGCAUGUCUUAAAAGCCCCCCUGGGCCUAGUGUGGGGCAAAAAUGUGGAGCUCUCUACUUUAACAAUUGUAAACGUUCUUUUGAGGAGUGUUACUCUUACACUGCGAUGUGAGUUCGAAUUCUGUCGCUUUCUUAAUCUAAUAUCUAAUCUAACUAUUAUAUCAUUUGACCUAAAAAAAAAAAGAAGGUUUUUUUUUAUUUUAGAAUGUAAAAACAUCACCAAGUUUAUAUUUAAAAUUUGACCACUGGGAUUUUGGAAAUAAAGAAAAACAAAAUUCUAGGGCUCGUUAGUAACGUUUUGCAAAACGAUACUUGUUUUGUCACACAAAGAUGGCAAAUAGAAUUUUGUUUUUUUAUGACUUAAAAAAAGUGUGGUAGUUGUGCUUGGAGGCUGUUUAUUGAGUGUAAACAAAUGAAUAAGAUUUGAGGAAAGUCAUUUAGUACUACAGUCUAGUGAUUUUUCUCUUCACAUGUAAGUGAGAGGUUUUAGGUUCGAUUCUAUCAAAGGCAAAUUAAAAUCACAUUAUUGUUAUCCCAUUGUGAGACUUUCUGUUAAUGUAGAUAAUAUCGUUUGAUUUGAGGAAAAAGAAAGGAUCCAAUAAUAAAAUAAGAUAUGGAGGGCAUAUAUUAUAUAAUUAUGGGAGCUUUAAUGAAAAUGGCUUGAGCUAAGUUUAAUUUAGUUAAAAACCACCCUAUACUAUUAUUUAACCAUAAGGGCUUCAUAUUUAAUUAUAAGGACAAAACUAAUUUAUAUUAGGUCUCACAAACAUUAAACGCACAUGGGCUGAAUCAAAGGCCCAAAACGAAAUAAUUUUUUCUUCUAGGCCUUGCCCCUAAGAGCAAUUUCACCCCUAAAAAAAUGUGUCAGCACCCAGCCCAUUUAAUCCACUCAGUGAACAAUGAUAGACUGCAAUGAACACUAAUAGGCCAAAUGCAACUCCACCCCUAAAACUAAAUAGCCUAGUCAAUUUUAUUAAAAUAUUAUUAAUUUUUAUUAUAAAAUAAUAAUUUAAUUUUUAAUUUCUAACAUUAUCCCUUCUUCUUCUUCCCACUUUUCACUCUCUCACCGCAAUCCUUUCUGCUUCUUCCCAACUUUCACUCUCCCACCGCAACUCUUUCUGCAUUUCGCUCCAUACUCCCACCAAACUACUCACCACACCAAUGCUCCCCCAAAAAUGGACCUCCUCAUCCUGGAAAAGACCCAUUUGAGUCUCUUCGUAACCGUGAUCGUUGCCAUCACCAUUUCAAAACUCAGCGGCCGUUGCCUCACCAUCAAUCAUCGCCUCACCAUCGGUCGUCGCCAUCGCCAUCGUCGCUGUGAUAGUCGCCUCACUGACCUCGCCAAGACAUUCGGCGACUGCUUUCUUUUCCGCAUGGGGCAGCGCAACCUAGUCGUCAUCUCUUCGCCAGAGCUUACCAAUGAGGUGCUCCACACCCAGGGAGUCGAAUUUGGGUCGAGGGAGGCGUGGCAGUAUCGCCUGGCGUCAUGUAAGCCGGGCAAGAGCUCAACACAUUCUGAGCCAGCCUAGAAACUAGCUUGGGCUGGGUGCCAGCCUAUCUUUUCGGCUAGAAUGGAUUGGUUGGGUGCCGACCUAAAGGUUCCCCGGUGGAACUGCUCUAACGGAACGCAUUCUGUCAUCUAAUUCUGUUACAAAUAAACUUCAUUUUAUUUACAAGUAUCAUUGAUCCACCAGACAAAAAUUAAUGUGUUUGUUGUUCAAAUUUUGAGAUGAAAAGCACAGGAAGAAGCAACACUAAAUCGGAGGAAUCCAAAACGAUGCCCUUCAGUUCGGACGUCAAUGCGGUAAGAACGACCCUCUUGAAUCAACUUUGGAAUCGGCAAAGUUAACUCAGGAGCAGAUAAAUAGGAAAAAUCUUGGGGUCCACUUAUGGAAGUGCAUUUCCACUGAAUAUGGAUUCCAUUCUCGAUUCUAGAGGCCUGCUGGACCAAUUCCUUCUUCAACGUUGGGUUUGGAAGUUAUGAAUGGAAGAUUGGAUGAUUUUGGCUUUGAGGAUUACCUAAAUGGCCCCCACGGGAAUCUGAAACCUUUCGGCCUAUAGACACAUCAUGCAAUGGAAGUUCGCCUUGGGCUUUCAGAGGGUCCAGUCUCCUUAAGCUUUAUGUGAUCAUCAUAGACUUCCUUCCCUAAAUAAGAGGAUUAGUAACCUUGUCAAUGUUAUUCCUAAAAUGUGAUUGUUUGUUCGCCUUAUGGUAUUGCCUUUCUUCCAACCAAAGACAGUUAUUCUAUUUGGCACUUCAAAAAAAAAAAUGUACUAUUGGUCGUCACUGAUUGGUACUCCGAGCCCCGAGUUGAUAUUCUACCUUCCUUACCAUGCAUGCAUAAUUAUAUAUGUGCCAAUCAAUUAUUAAUACACACUCGUUCUCUAUUUGUUAAUACUAUCGAGAUCAAUUUUUUUUUCAAAUUUUGUAAAUCAAAUAAUUGAAUUAUGAUUUAAGCAUUAAUUAAUGUACUUAUCAUUUGAUUUGUAAAUUUGGUUUAAAAUUUGGUUUUCUUUAGCAUUAUCCCCUAUUAAUUAGAAGGGCACGCAUGUAUGCAUGAACUCCAAUUUAUAAAAAAUAGUUAUUAUUCAGUUUCAUAAAUAGUCAAUCAAUUUAAUAAUAGUGUAGUACCUAUGUCAGUUUCAUAAAUAGUCAAUCAGUUUAAUAAAUAGUGUAGUACCCAUGUCAGUUUCAUAAAGAGUCAGUCAGUUUAAUAAAUAGUGUAGUACCUGUGUUAGUUUCAUAAAUAGUAAUUUAAUAAAUAGUGUAAUACAUAUGUCAGUUUCAUAAUAGUCAAUCAGUUUAAUAAAUAGUGUGGUACUUGUGUUAGUUUCAUAAAUAGUAGUUUAAUAAAGAGUGUAGUACAUGUGUCAGUUUCAUAAAUAGUCAGUCAGUUUAAUAAUAGUGUAGUACCUCUGUCAGUUUCAUAAAUAGUGAGUUUAACAAAAUAGUGUAGUACAUGUGUCAGUUUCAUAAAUAAUCAGUCAGUUUAAUAAAUAGUGUAGUACCUGUGUCAGUUUCAUAAAUAGUCAGUCAGUUUAAUAAUAGUGUGGUAUUUGUGUUAGUUUCAUAAAUAGUGAGUUUAAUAAAUAGUAUGCCUAGGGAUGGGCAAAAUACCCAUGUGUUUGGGUAACCGUGGUUACCUGCCCAUUUAAAGUUCACGGUUACGGUUAUGGGUAUCCGUUUAGAUGAACAAACGGUUAUGGGUAUAACCGUUUAUCCGUGAAAUUUAAAUGGGUGGUUAUGGGUAUUACCCGCGGUUAUAACAGGUAUCCAUUGGUUAUGGGUAUUACCCGUGGUUAUAACGGGUAUCCAUUUACCCAUUUAAUUUAAUAUAUGUAAAAUUUAUAAUAUUUUUAACGGUUAUAACGCGUUUUUGUAUUUGUUGCUAAACUUUUCGUAUACAAAAAGUUUGAAGCACAAGAAGCCAACAAGAAGAAAGAUCAAAGAGCUUCCUUGAAGCUUAUGAUCCAUCUUGCGGUUAACAGAAAGUACUGGUAUUAGUGUAGAAAAAUGUUUGUUUUUAGAAGCUUUACUUUGUAAUCAUAUGGAUUAUAAUUAAAGACUUGCUUGGGUGUAGUAGAAAAAUAUCGUUCGUAAACUAUUAUUUCAAUUAUUAGAAUUGUAUGAUGACCUAAAUGAUUAAAAUAGAGAAAUGUAUGCUAAAAUGUACCUAUAACGGUGUUUAAUUGUCAGAAAAUGAAAUUUUUUUUUUUUGUAAUUUUCAAGUUGUUAAAAAAAACAUGUAGAUAGGUGAAAAAAGGGAUUAAAAAAAUGAUAAACGGGUUCACAACAGGUAAACGGGUAAAUGAUUAUGGUUAAAUGGGUAAACGGUUAUGGAUAAAUGGGUACACAGUUAUGUGUAUGGUUAACCAUUUAUAAACGGUUAUGGGUAAAUAACCGCGGUUACCCACCCGCUAUAACCAUUGCUCAUCCCUAAUAGUACCCGUGUUAGUUUCAUAAAUAGUCAGUUUAAGAAAUAGUCAGUGUUCAGUUUAACAAAUAGUGAUAGUGCCCGUGUUUAGUUUUCAAAAAUAGUGUAUUCAAUUUAAGUAAUAGUGUAGUAUUCAUAUUUAAUUUCAGAAAUAGUCUAUUUAAGAAAUAGUGUAAUAUCUUGUUUAGUUUCAGAAAUAAUACCCGUGUUCAGUUUCAGACAUAACCAUUUAAAAAAAAAUAGCGAGUGGAGAAAUAAGAUUUCAAUUAUUUUGGUUCAGUUCUAGAAAUAGUGUGUAUUAUUUUGCUAUAGUUCUAGAAAUAGUGUGGGUUAUAUUACAAUAGUUCCAAAAUAGUGUGUUAUUUUGUCCAGAAAACAAUAUCAAUUUCGGAUGCUCAAGCUCUAAUUUGUACACAUAAUUCAACACUUGUGAAAAGAAGAAACCAGUUUUUAGAAGACAUUUCGACUUGUUACAUAAUUGAAUGUUGUCUAUACGACAAAACCUAAGAACCCCAAGGAGCUGAGAACGGCCACAAGCACAAGGUUAAAGGCUUGCUUGUUGCUUGUAUAGCUUCACUUCUCAUGGAGGUCCAAUGUACCCCACAAGAAUUGUUCGUCAUGCGGCAUGGGAUGCAUUAGAUUUUCUUUUCCCGUUGGCGGAUACCCUCAGCAUCUUAUAAGCCUGUUGAUUGCUAUAUCCAUUAUGGUCAUUCCCCUUCCUCUUCAAGCAUGUGCUUCUCCUCCACUUCAACAUGUAUUGUCAGAUCAAAUUUCAUCAAAGUGCCAAUCAAGAUACACUAAUUCACACAAAUUUUAGUACCAACUUUUUCAUCAUUUGAUUCAUUUCUCAUCAGCCAAGUAGAAAAAUAAAAAACAAACAAAUUUGAUUCAGUUUAGUUUACUAGUGCUAAAUCGUUAAAGCACUAACCGCUAGAGGACCAUUCAAAGAUGAAUGGAAGAGAUGGAAAAUAUACAGAACCAAAGUGUCUAAAGCAUAUGUUGAAAUCAAAACAUGAUGGCACCAAGAAUUCGGCUCCCAUAAUAGCAUUUUGCCUUAAUUAGUAUGCUACUGCAUUUGAAAAGAUGGUCUUUACCAAUGAGGCGAACAAUUUAUAUGUAGAAUUCAACUUCACCCAAAUAAAUUUUCAUGCCCAAUUCAUAAACUACAUAUACAAAUAUAUCAGAAGCUGGUUGUUUUGUCGCUCGAUAAGCACAACAAUUUGAAUAAAAAAAGUCAAAAACAAAGAUUUAUACCUUUGUUUUAUGAGAUAUUUGUGCUCAGAUCCUUGCCAAUAUUAGAUGCAUGCACAUAAAUAUCUAAGUCUAUAAUAACAUGAAACAAAGAAAAGAGAUGCACAGGGAGAAAUAAAAUACAGAGUAACAACUUCAAUCUGAACAAUCGAGACGGUGAAUUUCUGAUCGCAGUUGUUGUCCUUGCUUAGAAGAUCUACAACAUAAGCCAAAAUGCAUCGUUUUAGAUACUAAUUACGCUCAAUCGAGAGACAAAAAACAAUAGAAAGAUCGCAGAGACGAAGAGAGAGAGUGAAAAUAAUUGCUUAACUUUGGCUUUUUUGCCGAUGGUGAAAACUCAAGGUCGUUUUCUCAUCUUUACAGAAAGGAGACAAAGUGAGAAAUUUUGGAAGAGGGAGUGACAAAAUCAAACCAUUUUGCAUGUCGGAGAUCCUCUGCGAUUUUGAUAGAGACAUAGACGGCUAAAAAUUAAGUUUGGGGGUCAGAUAUGUGGUUUUUGCGUAGUGGCAAAGACAGAGAUGGAGCUGCGAUGCGAGAUUAGAAAGAAAAAUCGGAAAGUCAAUAUUUAGGCCAUUUUAAUUGGAUUGGUUUAGUGUUGGAUUUUGUCCUAACCAUUAAAUAAAGUUAGUACAUGAUUUUUUGUUAACAUUCAAAGUUUUCAAGCCUUUUUCAUUAGCUUUUUUAUAAUUAUAGGUAGCCAUUUGUAAACAAUAUCCGGAUGGCUUUUUGUAACUCUCUUCUUAUGUUUCAUUUUCUUGGUUCUCUCCGAUUUCCUCUUGCAACCGAUGCCUUGUUCCCCGUGGCAUCGCUCGUUUAAUGAAUGAUUACCACCGCUCGUUUAAUGAAUGAUUACCAUGUGUUCGAAAAGCAAAUUCUUUGUCAAUAAAAGCACACCACGUGACAUGUUAUUGAUUGCAUGAGGGUAUCUCUCCUUUCGUUGAUACAAGUUUCAUUUUCGUUCAGACAGAAUGCAAACACUGGCUUCACUCAUUCAUACAUCGUACUAGAUAUUUUACGAAACAAAGAGGCAAAUGUUGUACUAGAUAAUACACAAUCCAGGUCAACAAUCUAACCGACUGUAAAAUAUAAUCUUAGAUUUUAGAGUUCGACAUUUUGGCCGGUCUCGUUUUGAAGACGAACCGAGUUCAAUUACAGGGCAGCACAACUCAAUUACAGUAAUGCAGACUAGAGAAACUCCUAACUCACCACUCAAGCAGUCCUAAACAGUUUUGGCUCCAUUCAGGCAGGCAAUUAACCCUUUUGGAUUACGCCGUUCUCCUUCAAGUACUCGACAAAUUCGUCAAUAAGAUAUGGCCAGGCACCUUCCGCAUCAUAGUUUGACAGUGAUGAAUCCACAGCCUACAAACACGGAAUAUCAAGUUAACCAAAGAAAUAAAAAGGUAAGAUAAAGGGUAGCCUUGUUCGGUUUUUGUUUUGGUUACAUAGAUGCUUGAUAUCUUACCCUCGCAAACUCCAAUAGUUGAGACCAUGUGUCCCUCGAAAUUGCCUUGUUAUGCCGAGCCUGAAAUGAUGGAAUUAAGGAGAGAAAAUAUAUCAAGAUAAUAUUUCCUGGUAAUUUUGUAUUUCUCACAAUCACUUUGGGACGUAUAAUGCCAUUUCAAUGCAAACAUACUUUCUAAGAUGUAACAGGUGUGACAAUGAUUUCGUAAAAGAAUGAUGUUAGGACUAAAUUUUUUAUAAGGGCCUUAUACACCACUGGUGGAACAAUGGCAGAUUUCGGUUUAGCUUUAUGGACCUAAUGAUAAACCACUAACACCUUCCUCGUUUGGGCUCCACCCAGGUAUGUAAGAGCGGCUCAAUCCAGGGCCCCGCCCCUGAGUCUUCACCUGUGUUCAUCACAGCACCUUCGCCUUACAUGCAUACGGGAAUCAAGGCUUGGAACCCCCAAGUAGGCUUUUUUUUUUUUACUUCUUUUAUCUUAUAGUUAUCAUACUAAAGGUAACAACAUGAAGCCUCCAUUUUGCACAGAAACUGUAAAAAUUCAUCAGAACUACUUGGCCAUAAAUUGUGGUGCACAUUUGGAGAUAUGCAUUCAUAUUAAACAUUCAUCACGCUCAAGGAGUUACAAAAAUUGGCAAUGAUUCCUAUUGGAUAAUAUAAAUGAUUAUUGCAAGCCCAUUGAGUGUAGCUAAUUUCAACAAAUACUAAAUUCCGUAACUUACCUGUAAGAACUGACACCAAUGUUCAACAUACGGCCACUGCUUUUCAGCAAACAGUAAUUGCCACAUUCCAAUUGCAGUAUCCAAUGCCAAAGAUUUCUGACCCUGAAAUGAAAAUGAAGCAAUAUACGUGUAUAUGAAUAUGAACACAAGCGCACAUGCACGCCCACACACACAUAUAAUUAUUUAUUCCAGAAAAUUAAAAUUAAAAAAAUAAUAAUCUUAUUGUUAAGUUAUUGAACAUGAAGACUAUCUAUAAUCAGAAGAAUGACAUAUGCAUCACAGACUAUUCCUGAAGCUGUGGUUGAAUAUGUUAUGAAUUGUGUUUUCAUGCACAUGUUUCAAGUCCAAAUUCGCACCCAUCAAGAAUAUAUAUCAAGGAAUUCUUCCUAGUUUUAUCUAUCAAAUUUGAGAGAUAACCACUGUCUAGAAUACAACAAAUCAAAAUCUUCAUGCAGUAAAGUAAAAAGUAAAAGCACAUACCUUUUCUUUUGCCCAGCCAAAAGCAAAAUUAUAUAUCUCUCGAAACUUUUCUGGAAAAUCAAAAGAUCAUUUCAGCAAUGAAAAGGUAUUCUUGCAAAAUUCAAAUCACAUCAAUAAUCUUUACAGAACAGUCAAGCUAUUUCAACAAAAAUACAUGUUAAAAUCACGAGUAUCUUCCACAAAUAACCAAUCUUAUUAAAAUUGUUAGAAUUUCCGUUGGAUUUCACUAAACAAUGUUAAAAUCACCCUAAACCCUAAUUACUUAACUAAAACUAUAAUCACAUUUCACUUACGUUCAUCUUUCAGCUCGGAUCUCAUAAAUGGUAUCUUUUCACGGAACUUGUCCAAAGAAUCUAUCCUGCCAUCAGAUAACACAAACUUCUGUUAAUUGAAUCUCUCAUGGUUAUAAACUAUGUACGUAUUAUAUUUGAGGUCUAGAAGAAUGUAAUAAACAUCUAAACCCUUUGUGCCUACCCUAGUGAUUCUAAUCCAUCUACGAACUCCUGCUUGGAAAAUUCACACAUGGUAGCUGCCUUCAUGUGCCAGGAAACAACUAACUGCAUCAACAGCCCAUUGUACCAAAAAUCACCAGCCAAGUCACAAGGAUAAGUUGAAAAAAAAAGUAUGCAAACUAAAAACAAAAGUUAACCGAUCAAAUUGGUACCAUAUAUAUGAUUUUCAUGAAGCUUACUUUUCAUAUGACAACCUCGUCAUUACCUGCAUAGCAAUUCUCUUUUAUACAGUUCAAAGUAAAUAUUACCAAUGUCCCAAAAUUUUAGCCCGCUAAACAUUAGUCUCCAAUCUUGUAAAUGUAACAUUUAAUCCCCAAGAAUUCUAUGUUAGACUGCGUCCACAACUGUAAUAGGCCCCAGUCAGAAAACCACUAUAUCUACCCUAAUCUUAUUAAAAUUGUUAGAAUUUCUGUUGGAUUUCCAAGCAAAAGGGCUCUUUAGCUCAAAUGGACAGAACUUCCUAGAAUUGAAUUUCUCGGUUGCCUAAAUAGUAAUUUGGCAGACUUGAAAGGAACUCCGUAGGCAUGCACAUCUUGACCAGAAAAAGGUUUAUUUGAAUAUACGUACCAUGACGAUAUCUUGAGGAUCCACCUGUCAAAUAAUGAAGGCUAGCAUGUCAGUCAAAAUAAAAGAACAAGAAAUUGCAAUUAAACAAUCAUAAGAAACAAACAACAAUAUUAAAGACAAAUGACUGAGACAGUUACUAUCUGCACCAAACAGUUACCUGAAGAUCAUUGCAAAGGAGGCUGAUACCAUCAACAAGUAUCAUGUCAGCACGUGGAUCUGGAAAAAAAAACUAUUUUACUAGUGAAAAGAAAAUUCUGCUAACCAUAUAAACUUUGGUUUAAAAAUUAAAAAAGAAAAAAAGAAGAAAGAAACAUUUGAUGGGUCAUUUGAUUUUAGGUACAAUGCUAUCACUUAUCACAAAUGAGAAAUUUAUAUCUGUACAUGCAAUAUUAUUGCUAAUCAUCAAGUUCAUCAGUAUGUACCAAAUCAAGUAUCGGAAUAUAUAUUUGAGUAAGACAUAGCUGAUGAAAAGCUUGAAGAAAAAAACAAUCCCAUUAAUUUUUUAAUAUAAAACAUUUAUAUAAAGUUCAGAUUCAAAAAUCUCGUGUUUGCAACUAAAGUAUUAAGAUUCCAGCCAAAUUCAUCUAUUACAACUUGAUAACACCACAUGCGUGUGAAUUUAUAAACUGACUUAGAUCUCUGUCUUUUCAAUUUGCUAUGAAUGUGAAACAAAAGAUAGACACUAAUGUCUAAGAUUGAGGACAAGAGUAAAUGGAAAGGUAAAGCUUGCCUUUAUAUCUAUUGUAUAAUUCCUCCAAAUGCCUAGAAUCAGUAUGUGCUUGCAGCUGGGGCUGACUGUAGAAUACAUCAAACGCUCCUUCAAGAUGCCAAUCACUAGACUUCAGAGCCUGCAAAGCCACUUUUUCACUGCACAUGAUGGGAAGUUAGACUUCUCAGUCCAAGAAUCACACUAAAACUGCUCAAGAGUAAGGAGAGAAAAAGGUACGAUACACGCCACCAGUUUAAUACAAAGCACAUAUGCGUGUGCAACCAAUUAAUCCAAUUCAACUCAAAAGAUACAUACAAGCUGACGAUUAAAACUGCUCAACUCAACCAAAUCUAACACAACAGAAACACACAUGUCUCUUAGAAAGGCAAAAAUUAUGUUGGAGUUAAAUGUAAAAUUUUAAAAUCUUCGUGAUUGACUAUUGAACAUACAACGUCAACUGGUUUUAAAUGGUGCUCUAAAUAUCAAUGCAUAACAUGCAUAAGCUAGCAAAACUGCCAUUGAUCUAAAGACGCGAAAUGAAGAAAAACAGAACUUGCUGGAGCUUUUCGGACUACCUCGCUCCGGUUAUCAUGAUGAACUGCUGAAGCUUUUCACGUUGGCCUCUACCCGACUUGUGCUGUCAAAAAGAAAAUCAAAGGUGAAGCAGAGAGAGAGAUAACAAAACCAAACUAUGCGCAUGUUGAUUCAGGUAUAUGUAAGUGUGUGCGCGCAAAUACAAACGAACGCAUAUGAUUAGCAUAAUAUCAACAUCCAAUAAAUAAUCUCUGCAAAAAUGUAACUGAAAAGUGGGUAAUCUUAUAAGAGGAAAAUGAAACAGUGGGUAAUGAUCUCUAUGUUGUUGUCACCAACCACAAAAGGUUACUUUUUUCGUCAAGAAAGUGCAAAACAAAACCAAAUUUUCUUCAAAUUCACAUCCACCGAGGUUUUCCCCUGCCAUAAAUUUCAUUUUGCAUCAAUUUUCUUCAAAAUCUAAGAAACCAACAGCCUCUUGUUAACUAAUCUCACAACCGAAAAAACCCGAAAACUCCUUAACUAGUGUACGUUAUCAAAUCCAAAGACACAUCUUUUAAUCCCUUUUCUCAGCUCUCCCAGCUUCUCAAAAUAUGAAAUGUUACUAAAAAUUGAAACUUUGGCAUGACAGUCAAGUGAAAAAGUCGCUAUAAUUUGCAGAACAAAUCAUGAAAAAGUGAAACAGUAAAAAGUUAAGUUGAAGUAACCCUAGAGAAGCGAGAGACUGAUCAGGAACCAUAAGCAUACAUGAAACCGAACCAAUGAGAAUCGAAGAAAUUUGACACAAAAAUCGUGGAAUUUGAAAAUACAGCUGAAAAAUAGAGAGUACUCACCAUCUUUGAGGUGGACGAUGAUGAAAUCGCAGACCUUGAACUGCUUUUAGAGAGAGAAAAUUAGGGUUUUGCUCAGUUUCUGGGUAACAAGCACACAGAAAUACAUACGAAGAGUCUCUCUGUAUCUAUCUCUCAAUGGGGUCUGGGUUCCCUGCAUAUUGUGUUUUUAAUUGGUUUUUAUUUCCCUUUUUUGUUUUUUGUUUUGUUUUUGCUUUUCGCUUUUUGUUUUCCAUUUUUUCUUUCUUACCGUUUUUUUUCAAGGCGAUGAACAACGGGCGUUAAAUGCGUUUGGAUGUACUGAGCGUUUCGUGUUUAAUGUUUCGUAAAUCAAAUAUAAAUGUGUGAUACGAGUACCUUUAAUGUGCAUUGACCGUUAAAUAUGAGUGGAGAUGUAUAAUGAGGAUUGCGUGUUUAACAUUUGAUAAUCGAUAAUAAAUGUGUGACACGAUUACUUUUAAAGUGCGUCAACUGUUAAAUUCGUGUGAGAUACAUUUUGAAAAUGUAUAUGGAGUCCACUACGAAAGUCACAUGUAUUAACGUUUCAUAAAAUGUGGCAUGACGAUCUUUAGCAUGUAAUGACCGUUGUGAAUCAAGCUGUGAAAGCUAAAUGUACUACAAAAUGGUCCAUGGUCACUCUCCUUAGCUUCUGCCGGACGCUAUGCCCUACCUGGCGACAACCCUUGGGCACUCAAUGCAGGACUUUAUUAUUUUUGACAAAAAAAAUAAAAAAUAAAAAAAUAAAUAUUGCCUAUUUUGUAAGUAAUGAAUGUUCAAACUUGUGGUUUAUUUUAGGUUUUAACUGCGAAGUGCUUAGCCCAUGCAAUGAAUCCAUCAGUUCUACAGUUGGGCUUGGUUCGGACUCAAUUGGCCCAAUAUCAAAGUCCAUUCAACAGCCCAAUAAAGCUGGUCCAGAAUUGUUUGGUGCCAGAGAGUGCAAAGAUCCAAUAGGCUCAUUGUGGAUCUUUGAAAUUUGGUCGAAGUUCUAUUUGUUCCUCUUCAACCCACUACGUUUCAAGUUCAAACUCUCUCCUCUUCUUUUUGUAGAUUAGUGUGAAAUAUCGCUUGUAAUAAAAAAAUAUCCAUGAUAAACUCCUGUAAUUUACAAAGUGUUGCAACUCAAAAAACAUGUCUUCAUUUUCUUCAUUUUUUCUUAGAGUAAUGUUAGGGAGACCAAAUUUAUAAAUCAAAUUCGCAGACCAGUGAUGUGUCACCAAUAAGAAAUAAGUACGUUAAUCAACAUUUAAUCAAUAAUCCAAUCAUCUACAACCACAUCAUUUGGUUUGUAAAUUUGAUUUAUAAAUUUUGGUACCCCUAGUAUUACUCUUUUUCCUUUUUCUCGAUGGGAAGCGUGUGAGUGACAUGUGUGAUUUAAGAGUAACAUUAUAGAAGUGUAAAAGACCUCACACAUGGUUUCAGAGUUCUAAUUUUGUCUGAAAAACAAAAGUGACAUGUGUUAUUUAAGAGUAACAUUAUAGAAGUGUAAAAGACCUCACACAUGGUUUUAGAGUUCUAAUUUUGUCUGAAAAACAAAAGAAAUAAUUUGACUUGUGUGCCACUUCGGUCUCCAAAGCUCUAAAAUAUGCCACUAUACAUGUAUCAUGAAGUGUAGUAUUUAUCUCAGCAACAAACAUAACUUUAAAUUUUUCCAAGUUAUGCAUACACCUAAUGGUGGUUCAGUGGUAAAUGAUAGAUUGCAAGAUUUCCUUCAAAUUAAAAAUGAGAGGUUUUGGGUUCGAAACCCAUUGUUGGUGUGGAAGCUAGACUUGUGACCGGAAGAGGCUAAAAUGCCUCCCGAAAUAGGUGGAUCCGUGGCCCCUAUCAAUUAAAAAAAAAGUCAAAAAAAAGUUACGUAUACACCUAUACGCAUGGACUCCAGGUCUGCUAUCCCUUAAAUUGUGUCUCAUUUGUAUCUCCUUACUAAUAUUUUGACACAUAUCCUUUAACUUAACUUAAAACUUAAAUUUACAAAAAAUAAUCCAAAAUAAUAAAAAAAAACGGUUGGGGUAACGAGGUGGGCAAACCCAAAUAGGAUUCUUUACCUUCUUUUAGGUGGUUGUUCAAUGAACAACUUCUCUGUUCAAGCUUUCUGGUAGAACUCGAUGAUGGCGCGUGGCUUCUUGCUGGUAGGCGGAGGAAUCACCAGACAUGAAUCGGUCCAAGCGUAGGUUAGUCUGCUAGUGGUGGAACUGGAAAGUGAGAUUAAUAAACAAUUCCCAACUGAAAGGUGAUCAAAGAACUCCAUGCUAUGAAUCAGGUACACACACACACACUUACUUAUUGAACCAUUUAUAAUUUUCUUGCUGAAAAGGAACAAGAAAAUUUCCAACGGCGUAUCCCACAAAUUUCCAAAGUCCUCCCAAAUUCGUCUUCUCAAAGUUUCCGUUUGUUUCCCGAGAAAAGGAACAAGAAAAUUUCCGAUGGCGCCCAAAGCUGAGAAGAAGCCCACGGAGAAGUCCACCGUGGCAGAGAAACCCCCCACCGAGAAGAAGCCCAUGGCCGGGAAUAAGCUCCCAAGGAGGCCGGAGCCGCCGCCGGAGAUAAGAAGAAGAGAUCAAAGAAGAGCGUAUAUAUACGUGGAUUUUUUAAAAAAAAAAUUUAAUGUUAAAUAAAUAAAGUUAAUGGAAUUAAGUUAAAAGACAUGUGUCAAAAUAUUAGUAAGAAGACACAAAUGAAACACAAUUUCGAGGAAAACAGACCUGAAGCCUUACGCAUACCUCUCUCGUCACAUAAAAUGAAUACAAUAAUGCAAAUACAUGUUGGUUGACAACGCCCGACACAAGAUCUUCUCCCAUGGCAUUAGAAAUUAGAAAUAUAUUCUCAUCAAAGGCACUUUUCACGCACACCGAAUGCCCCAAGUAGGAUACCAUGGUUCCUUCCACACAUAUUUAAUAUAGACUAAUUAAAUUAUAGUCGGUACAUAUUCUUUACGAAAAGUCACCUCUUAGAGACGAAUUCACUUGAAUAAACUAAUCUCCAAUCUCUGAAAACUGACAUUGAAACUAUUAAGAGUUUGUGUAGCAUCUGACCAGCAUUUUACAUGCUUUAUCUACCGAUUUAAAUAGCAGUUUAAAGUUUCUAAAAUAUUCUUUCUUCACUUGGAUUAGUUUACAGUUUAGUAAAGUAAGCCGUAUUUGUUUAUUUGCCUGUGUUUUUCUUUAUAUAUUGAGCUGCAAUUCAUUGUCUUCCUAGCAAACUCUUUCUGCUGAGAAAACAUGGUGGCGGAUCUUCGAACAGAAUCUUCGGAUUACCGGACCGAGCUCUUGUCGCCGGACGCGACGGGAGAGACUGUGACAGUGCCAACUGAGGCAUCGUGGAGGCUCAACAUGGAUGGAUUCAACCUUCCAGCUGAGAGAAGCAUGGAUUCUUACUUUGGCCUUGGCUCUUUUGUAAACUCAUUAAGUAAGCUGUUAAGUCCUUUUCUCUUAAGUCCCCUUCGUAUUAUCAAACUCAAAUUAGCAUUGAAAUUCUCUCUAAUUCCAUCACAGGGAGGCAGAGAAAAAUUGCGCAAUAUUACAAGAGGCAGAAUAAGCUUCUCAAAGGAUUCAACGAGAUAGACUCAUUUUCUGAGAUGGGUUUUUGGCCUGGAAGUUUAACACAGGUUUGUCGUUAAUUUCGUCGUUUUAGGCCAGUUUGUCAAUCAAAUUUUCCCGUCACCUUGAAUCCAAGUUCAAAUUCCCAUCCCUGUAGAUUAAAGCGAUUUCGAAGAUCACUUUAGAAGAUACGUUUCAAGCACAAGCUUUUUUCUUAAUUGUUGCAUUGAAUUUUGGGACCUUUUGAAUUUUUUGGUUUCAGGAUGAGGUGAACCAACUUGCAAGAAAUGAAAGGAUGGCAAUAUAUACAUCUAAUGCGGCUAACUUGGUGCUUUUCCUGGCAAAAGUUUAUGCUUCAGUUGAGAGCAGAUCUUUGGCAGUAAUUGCUUCAACUUUGGAUUCUCUCUUAGACCUCUUGUCCGGCUUCAUUCUUUGGUUCACUUCUCAUGCAAUGAGAAAACCUAAUCAGUAUCGGUACCCGAUUGGUAAAACCCGGAUGCAACCUGUGGUAAGUAUAGUCCUUCUACUAUACAUCAAUGCAUAUCAUAAAGUGCCUUUGAAGUGGAUCCCAUUCAUCCGUUGAAUUCCUUGUGCUUGUAAUCUUGAGCGAGUUGUAGCCGUUAAAUUCUGCCAUGUAUUUCAUAUACUGAUGUACCUUUCGGUGGUUAGCAAUUGAGAGAACAUUGGAAAUUCAAUCUCAUGGCACUGAAUCAACAAUAAAUCAAUGAUUUUGUAGGAUUAUGUUCAUGAGAAUAUGAAUCCUAAUUUUUCGGACAAUUAGUUCUAACUUUACUUCAUGCACUAAAUCUCAAAUGCAUUGCAGGGA